GUGGCGACACCUGUGAGUGGAGUACCGAGCCCAGAUGGGAUAGUGGGCCCAGAACCAUUUCUUUUCAAGUUUGAUCGAUUGGGUGUUAGGGUUCCCACCAUCGUGGUCUCGCCUUGGAUAGAGAAGGCCACUGGUAAGUGCUAUUUCCCUUUCAUUCCAACUCUUUCUUUUUUGGCCUUAUCUCUUCUACAAUUUCGUUCAUGGGAAUAUAUUAUCGGUUUUUUUAAAAGAAAUCAAAUUAGGAUUUUAUUAAGAGAAAACUGUAUAUAAAUAUGAUAUAGAUAAGUUACGUAUAUAAAUAAUUAAAAAAAAUUUGAUUUAAAGUUUUUGAUUAAGUUGACAGAGCAAAAUAUUUAUGUCAUAAGCAAUCACUUACUCUAAUGAAUGGCUAUUCAUGACCAUCGUUCAAUUCCAUGGUCUUUCUACGAGUGCGAUCUGAUUACCUUAAAAUUUUUUCCUUCUAUUAGAGAAGAGACCUACAGUUCUUUCUGUAUAACUAUUCAAAUAAUAAAAAGUCCUAGAUAAAAUCACCAUGGUGACAAUGGUAACUUAGAACUAAAUCUCGAGCAACAGUAAAUAUCAAUAUUUGGACGAGAAUAACAAAGAUUUAUAUACAAAUAUAAGAAUUAUUUAAAAAAAAUAAAUAGAAAAGGGAAAGGGACUACCAAUGAGAGAUCACCGGUUACUGUAGAAGAAGAAAAUAGAGCUUUUAGAUUUUGAGAGAUAUUUUUUUUUUAUAUAUAUAUAUUGUCCGGUUUUGACCUUUAGGACGUAAUUUUUUUUUUUUUUUUAAACUCAUACUUGGAGUAUUCUCUCAUAAACUACUAUAACAAUAAUUAAGCCCUCUUAAUUGUAAACCAGCUGGAGUGAAUUUUAUACAUUCUUUAUUUUUGUUCCUUCAUAAUUAAGUUUAUACUAAUGACAAUUUGUCUCUAUGUGGUACCGGAUGGACAUCUUCCUUUUUGAAUUUUUUUUUAUUUUUUUUUUUGUGUAAAUCAUCAUUAGCAGGGACCGACUAAUUUAGCUAGGGGCUUAGUUACAGUUAAUAUUCUUCACCUCUCCUUACAUGUGUGUUUAGUGGAUAUCGAACUUGAAAGCUCUUCUUAUAUAUCUAACCUGUGUUGCCAAUUGAGCCACAACACAUAGAAUUCCUUUUGAAUCUUUUGUUUCUAUUCGGCUACGUUCAUAACUAAGACUGAACUAAUGUCAAGAAGUAGAAGAUAUUUUGGUACAACAUGUCUCUCCAUAUGAUACAAGAUCCACUUCUUCUUAUUUUAACAUCAUCCACCAUUAAUGAAUUGAAUCCACAGACCGUGACAUGUUAGGACUCUGAAUAUUUUAGUUUAGUUUAGUCAUCAACUUACUAUAACCCUUCUUCUUUACUCGAUUUGGGGGAUAUGUUCUAUCGGGCUCACACAGGCAGAGUUAUUCUCCAAUAAACUAAUAGGGCUAAUUUUUUUAAAAUAAAAAAAAAUUAUAACAAAAAUAUUUAUUUUUUAAUUUGAUCCAUAAAUAAUUUCAAUCUCACUGAAUUGUAAUUCAUUAUUAAACAUAACAUUAGAUACUAGUAUUACUUGAAAGUAGAAGCUUUAAUCAACAGGAACACUUUGGGGAAGAGGGAGAGAAAGGGGAUUUGAACUUAGAUCUACUGUUAAGGUUGAAUAUGCACUUACCAUCAUAAUGUAAUACAAAAAUGUAAUAAAAUAAGAAUAAUUGGUACGGACUUUAAUAGAAGGAUGAGUUAUACAGAAUUAAAAUAUAUGGACUCUUAAAUUAAUUUUUAAAAUGUAAGUCUUAAUUAAUUGAGUAACUAAAUAAUAAAUUAUCCUGCUCAUUUUUUUAAAAAAUUAUUAAAUGAGGUGUGAGUAUGGAUUGUCCUAUUUAUAGAAGUGGAUCCCAUUACAUAGGUUAUAUAAUUGAACCCCUAUGUAAUGUGAACAUACCCAUAUAUUCUCAUUUAAAAAAAAAAAAAAAAAAUAAUAGGCCCAUCUCAUGUGCCUCAAAAUGGCUACAACACAUGUAAUUAGAGUUAUAUUAAAAAUUAAAUCAGAUGUAAUUUGAUUGAUUUUUUCACUUCUUAUAAAUAUAAGGAGUAAAUUAACACUAUUAAAUUGAAGUACUCUCUGUUAUAUAAACUUUGGUUGUGUUCGACAAUAAUUUUUUUAGUAAAUUCUAUUUUUUAUAAUAUUCGGUAACAUGACGUUUGAACUAGCUUUCAGAGGUUGAGAUAUUAUUUUAUAAAAUGUUAGCUCAUAUAACAUUUAGCUUGUAACGUUUUAUGAUAAGCUACUAAAACAGCUAAUAAUGCCAUUGAAAUAGUCAAUAAUUAUUAAAAUAACUAAUUUUACUGAACAGACUCUUCCAUUAAUUUAUAAGUAAUUUAAUGAGUAUUUUUUUCAAAGAGAAAAAUUAUUUGUGUUAUAUAUACUUUUUACAUAUAGUUUAGAAGAUAACCUCUAAGAUAAGUUAUUAGUUUAUCUGAAAAGAAUAAUACUAGUAAGAAUAAAACAAAAGAAGUUAAUUUAUGUAUGGGGUUAUAAUCCUUUACACAUUGCUUUUUUGAAAAGAAGAGAAUGUGAAACCUUUUAAAUUAUUAUGUUAUCUUAUUGAAAUUGUCAAAUGUGUGAUGUGAAAUGUUCUUCUGUAGGAAGUAGGCUCAACCAAUAAAUACCAGCCAAAAAGUGGCAAUUUUUUGGUCUCUUUUGUCCUUUUUCCCAACCAACUAUGCAUUGCUUAUUGUGAGGAAAUAAAUGGGUUGGUUAGGACAAUAGGCUUUUUCUUUUAGAACAUAAACUUUGAAAAUUGGAAAUAAAGGGGUAAGUGACUUUGAAUAUUGCCAAAAGCUAACAUGGUUGGCACUCAAAAGUAAAAAUAAGGGAGAGAGAUUCUCCUAUCUCAUGUUGAUAAAGCACCGCAAAGGUACCAAAAAGGAUAAAUCAAGAGAAAAAGAAAAUGAGUUUUGUUUUUCAUUUUCCUACGAUACCCUUAUUUAAUAAUCUUGUAAAUAAUUAAUACUCCCUCCGUUCUUUUUUUAUAUAGAAAGUUUUUAUUUUUUUGUGUUCUUUUUAUAUAUGAAAUUUUACCUAAUUUAGUAACUUUGGAAAUCAUGUCAAUUUGAAAAGUUUAUCUUACCUAGUUUUAGACCUUUGUGAAGCUUUUAAUAUGAGAGAUUCUCAAGAUAGUGGCAGACAAAUAAAUAGAUGAACAUUUAAUAUGAAUAAAUUUUGGAGAAUUAAUUUCUUACAUUAAUUUUCGUUAAAAAAAACUCAUAUAAGUGAUUUGAUUGUUGGUUAAAAUGGAGAUUAAAUAGAAAAUGGCUAUAAAAUUUUUAGAUGGAUCAUAAUGAAAGGAAUCCUUAUGGAUUUCGCUCGAAUAUUUGAAAAAUUGCAUGUUAUUUAAACUAUGUUUUCAAUAGUCAAAAGCAGUUGGAAAAUUAAAUGAGUACAAAUUAAAAAAUUUCACACAACUUUCCUAAAUAAAUGACUAAAAAAAAUAAAAUUUUUUCCACAAGUCAGAACAUACACUUUAUUUUUUGCAACUAUCUUUAUUUUUAUCUCCAACAAAGCAUUUAAAGCAUCAUUGAAGAUCAAAACAUAAUUUAAGGCAUGUAUUGAUAUUAGAGAAGGAAUAAAUGAGAUAUUCGGGAUGAAUUAAGAAAAAAAAGGGCAAAAAAAGUUUGUUAAACUACUUUCUUAAUUUUGGUGAAAAAUUAGUUGUUCCUAUAUAAAAAGAACGGAGGGAGUAUUAUUUAAAUUUGCUAGAUAGUGGGGAAAAACGUUUUACUAUAAUUAAUUUUGAAAUUUUAAAAUGUUGGUCUUCAUGAGAAGUUUUCAUAAUCAAUUCCAAAAAUUAAAUCAUCAAUAAAUUAUUAAUAUACAAUUUUUAGGGUCUAUAUAUAUAUAUAUAUAUAGAAAUAAAGAAAAGUUAUAGUUAAAUUAAUUUAAGUAAUUAUUCUUAAAUUGUGUGGAAAAAAAAAAAGAACUUAGACUAUAAUUUUUGAUUGACUAUAUAAGUUCAUCCUUGAGCUUCGUUAUUUCAACUCCUCGAUUUUUAUUUUGACAUAUUAAAUAUUUCAACUUGAAAAAUUAGAUCAAUUAAAUACUUAUUGCAUAGUUAAAAAAUAUGAAAAUUAUUAUUCCAAAAGUUACGUUAACUACACAUCAAAUCAAUAUUUUGCAUAUAAAUAUCUUAAAAAUUAUUGCUAUUAUUAUGUAAAGGUGCAAUGUUAUCAAAAUUUGCAAGUUCAAAUGCAUAAUAGGUUAUUCACAAAGUUCAGGAUAUCACAAAGUUAAAAUUAUAAAGUUAAGGGGUGAAUUUAUGUAUUUGGCAUAAUUUUGUAAAGGAAGUAUGUAUGUAUUAUAGAUUACAAUUAAUUAAUUAGGGUGGAAAAUACUUUGAACUUUACAUGUCAAUGAAAUUGCACUCCAUUUUUCCUUUAAUUUCAAUUAUAAAGUGUAAUUAAUUUCAUUUUCAGUCAAAAAUAGGGUGCAAUACAAACUUAGUGUAUUGUUGCUUAUUAAUUCUAUACAUGUAUCAUUUUCAAAAUCAAAUUCAUCUUAACACCAUUAUUUGUUAUACAUGUAUAUAAAAGUAAAGUUUAUUAAAAUAAACAAUGUUAUAAAUAAUAAUUACCUCUGUUUAAUUAGAUUUGACAUUUUUUUCUAUUUACACGACAUUUUUAAAAAAAAAUCAAAUAAUAUCUAUCUGUUUAUAUAAAUAUAUAAUUUCUAAGGUAUAAAUGCUUUUGUGGUAACAUAUUAGAAUAUAGAAGUGAUGAUAUGAUAGAAGUGAUGAUAUGACAUUUUAUUUUUCUAUUAUAAUUAAUAUUUUUUAAUUUUUAAUAAAAAUUAAUUUUGAUUAAAUAAUGGAGUUAUAAACUAAUAAAUGUAAUGAUGGAGGAUUUCAUUAUAAUUAAUAUAUAUUUCUAUUUAAUAAAUAUUAAGUUUUUUAUUAAAUAGUUUUUAUUCAAAUUAAAGCAACACAAAUAUAAACUACAAUAAUUUUUUUGAAAAUUACGUUCAAUUUAAUUAAAAGACAGAAAAAUAUAUAAUCCAUGCGUUGCGUAGGUACAUGACUAGUUAAUUAUUAUGCGUGAGAUGUUAAAAUGUGUUGGCAUGUCAGGUUCGACACAAAUUCGCCUAACACACGAUACAAUUAGAGUCAGCACGAACACGACCCAUUUAAUAGUUGUGUUGUAUAUUUAAACACGAUCAUGAUACAAAAUUAAAUGAGUGACAUGAUUAUGACACGAAAAUUAAACAAGUGACACAAACACGACACGUGUAACCCGUUUAAUUAAAUGAGUGAUAUAUGAGUAAAAAAUUUAACCAAAUUUAAUUGAAUGGAUUGUAUACGAGUCAGAACACGACAUGCGUAACACGUUAACCCCCAUAACUCACUUAAUAUACAUAUUUUAUAUGAAAUUAUAUUUUUAUGUUUAAAUAAACGGGAUCUAUUUAAACUCGUGUGAUAUACGGGUGAUUUGUUUCCCACAUGAAUCUAUUUAAACUCAAUCCUAACUCGUUUAAUUUCUAUAUUAGGCGAAUUGUGUUCCCGUGUCAAUAAUCCAUUUUGAUACCCUAAAUACAAUCAGGGUAUACUUCCUUAGAAGUAACUUUUUUAUAAUUAUAUUUCUCUGGAAGUGAACUUCCCAGGAAAUUGUUAAUUCGAACCAAAUGUGGCUGAACUUAGAGUAAAAUGAACCUACAUUGGCAGUUUAGAGUCUUUAGAGUAGGGGAUCAAACUGAUAAAAUUCGUAGAACUCUAAAAAUUGUAGGUCUUAUUAUUAAUUAAACAUUAAAAGUACUAUAGUAAAUCUUUUUUUCCUUUUUUGAAUUUUGGAUAAUUGAUAGAACUGAUUUGCCUAAUUACUACCUCUUUUUCAUAAUACUUAUCACAUUUGAAAAAUUAGUUCAUUUUAAAAUACUUGUUACAUUUGUGGUUUCAAGGAGUAACAAAAUUUUUUUUCCGUGUUUACCCUUUGUACAUGACCAACAAUUAUUACUUCAAUUUAAUGAUUUUUUAGAGAAUUAAUAUUAAAUUAAAGGUAACAUGGUCAAUUUACUCAAUAAUUUAUUGUAACUUAGAUAAAUUUACAAUUUUUUUUAGGGGACGUCAAAGAAAUUUCAAUUAGAGAUAUAUUUAUACUAUAUAUAAAUGUGGGAAUGGGGGAAAUAAUGAGAUUUUUGAUAUCGUCCUUAAUAAAAUUUGGAAUAUCCUAAAAUAGCCUUAGUUGUAGUCAAUUCGAAAAUUAUAUUUUAUACCAACGAGUGUCUGGAUGAGUAGUUUAACACUCUUCUCUCUAAACUGAAGUCAAGAAUUCGAUCCUCAUGGUUUAAACAAAUACUUACUUAGAGCACUUUACUCUUUCGUGGGUUGAUCUAGUACGAGCAGGACUUAGAUCUAGUCCAAUUGGCUCGGGAUACAUGUGGUUAAGAAAAAAGAAAAAUUCUAUUUUAUUAUUUGAUUAGAUAUAAUUUUUAAAAGUUAUUUUUUGAAUAAAAUAUACAUAGAUAAUAAUAAUAAGAAAGUAUACUCUUUUUUUUCAAGAAUUUUUGUGUAUGUUCAUAUAUUCAUUUCUCUAAUGCACUGGGUAAGUAAUACUAUUACUAUAGCCAAAAUGACUACUAUUAUUAUUUCAAAUUAUCUUCUCAUUUCUUUUCUUUUACCUACAAGUAAAAAAUAAUUCAUUAUUACUUUCAUUAUAGACGGUAUAUAAAUAUUGAUUUGAAAUUGAGUGCAAAGGGUUGAGGAUUGAGUGAUGACUUGAUUUUAUUUUUGGGCAUCUAUCAGAGUUUUAAGAAUAUGCAUUUAUAAAUUAAAGAUUGAAUGAUUAGGUAUAGGAAUUGGAUUGAACUUUAUUUUGAUAUCACUUCAUUAUGUAAAAUUAGAAUCAAGUAAAUAAGAAAUAGUAUUAUAAAUAGCUUAUAUAUCAAAGUUUAAUACAAAUUAACCAAUUGUAUUUAUUUUAAUCUAAAUAAAAACUUAUGCUUUAAUAUUAUAUAAAUAAAAAAAUUAAAAAAAUAUAAAAAAUAGAAUAUAACGAGUAUUGUCAAGACGCAAUAUAAUGUGGUAGAAAAGACUAGUAUAUAUUAAUAAUGGUAAUUAUGCAGUUGUUCACGGCUCAAAUGGAUCACCAUUUCCGACAUCGGAAUAUGAGCAUUCAUCGAUUCCGGCGACAGUGAAGAAGCUCUUCAACCUGUCCUCUCCUUUCCUGACUAAAAGGGACGAAUGGGCUGCCACCUUCGAAUCCAUUAUUCAGAAACGGACUGAGCCCAGAACUGAUUGCCCUGGUUAGUUCAAAAUCUGAAUAUUACGUCUUUCUCCAAAUAGUAAAAACAUUUAUUUUCCAGAAAACGAUUUUCUUCUAAAACAACGUAAGAUUUUCAUCUAGUUCUAGAAUAUUAUCAAGAUUUUCAUUUUGUGUUGAUAAAUUUUCCCAUCUUGAUAGUGCAACUACCAACUCCAUCGAAGAUCAGAAAAGGGGACGCCAAUGAAAAUGCAAAGCUUAGUGAAUUCCAGCAAGAGCUAAUGCAGCUAGCAGCAGUGCUAAAAGGAGAUCACAUAUUGACAAGUUACCCUCAGAAUAUAGGGAAACAAAUGACAGUGAAGGAAGGAAAUGCAUAUAUGGAGGACGCUGUGAAACGUUUCUUUGAGGCUGGACUUUAUGCGAAAAAAAUGGGAGUCGAUGAACAACAAAUUGUUAAAAUGAGGCCAUCUCUUACUACCAGAUCAUCUAAACCAACCAUCAAUAACCCAUAGAAAAAUUUUAUGUUAGUAUACAUCAGUCAUCAUAUGUAAGCACAGAAAAUAGAAAGUAAAAGAGAAGAAACAAAUAAUGUCAUCUCCAUAUUUACUGGUAAUGGCAGUGCUUUAAUACUGAAUCAAUCUUAACAAGGAGAACGCCACAAGUAAAUGAUCAAAUUCAGAUUAAGAGUUUAUUCUCAAAUUUUCUAAUUGAGACGACUAGGGGUGUGCAAAACCACCUUUGGAAUCGAACUAAACACCGAACCAAUCCAAUUCAGUUUGAUUCAAUCAGUUAGUGAAGGGAAGUUCGGUUUUUGAUUUGAACCAAAUAUGUUGUUUGCUUCGAGUCGGUUUUAUAGAAAUUUAUUGAUUGGAUUUAAAACCGAAUUAAUACGGCAAAAAUCAACCAUAACUGAUCGAACCGAUCGAUUCGAUAUGUUUACUUCAGAUACUAAUUCUGAUUUGAUUCGGUUUGUUGUCCAAAAAUUUCAGUUUAUAUAUAUAUAUAUAUUUUGCCUUAGUUCGGUUUAAACUGAACCAACCAUUUGCUCACCCCUAGCUCCCCUAACUCGACUAGACUCAAUUGCACCUCUGAGAAACCUCUAUUCUAAGUCAACGUGAGAUGUCCAUUUCAACCCGAUUCAUUUACAAAUGGAGCAAGUAUACAGACUUAUCAAUCCAACUUGGGAAAAUAUGAAUCUAACCCGAUUAAUUUUCCUUUUUAUAUAAAAAUAGGCUCUUUUUAGUGAUUUUAUGAAUAUUAACCCAACAUGACCCAAUUCCAUUUAAUCCCAUGUGGAUGCCUGAUGGAUAUUAUUUUUUUAUUACUGGAUCGGAUAUUGUAAAAUUUGAUCCAAAUCAGAUCUAUGAGCAUCUCUAGUCAACCGGCGAGAAAUUUACUAGUAAAAAUUCCUCAUAAUCCACAUAAUGAACUGCAAAAUGCUGAUAGUACUACAAACCUUGACAGCAGAGAAUUUUCCAUUUACAGGUCUAAAACAUUGGAAGAUACAAGAUUCAACACUAAUUUCAAACGUAGCAAAUGUGUACAAAAAGAAUUCAGAGGUCUCCAUGAUUAAAAAAUGUCAAAAUCCCUCCUAUAAUCUUUCAACAACUUUCCUAUUUUUCUAUCUAUACCACUCUUCUUUUACUGUGUAAAUGGUAUCAAUGAAUCUUCUUCACAAGGAUGCGUCAUACUGAACAAAGGAUCAACGAAUUUAUAAUCCAAAAUUCAAUUUCAACCGCUGUUUAUUGGAUCCCAACCUGGAAUAUUAGCAGUAGCUUCAUUUACCAUCUUUACAAGUCUCACCUGCACAUAAAUUCAUUCAAAGAGGGAGAGAAAGCCCAUAUGUUAUCUUCAAAUUAUGAUUUUAGUUUCAAGAAAGUGGGAAAAUAUAGUAUUAUUAAAGAAUCAUAGUUCAGACAAGAACAUAUUGCUCAAGUGUCACUUUAUCAGCAGGCAACACACUAGUUACUAUAAAUGGCAACUAAAUCACAGAAUCCUCAUCUUUGGCACAGCAAACCAAAUCUGGGUGAAAUUUGACAUUAUUUAGCACACCAAACUAAAUGUAUAAUGAGUUUAUUUAGUUUACAUACACUGGCUGACUAAUGAGAAAUGACACUGCAUAUGCAAGAUAACAUUCCAAAAUGGUUUCUGAUGAUGUUGUGGAAUAAAAAAAGGAGGAAAAGAACGGAAAAAAAAAAAAACAAAAGAAACUGCUGCAUUUAUUGGACAUCAAUUAAUUCCCACAAGUAAUUUUGCAACUGAAUUUGAACGAGACAAACCUAGUGUUUUGCUUUAUAUUCACGAAGAACUGUGGAAAGGUUAAACAUGUACGAAAAAGGAUUGAAUGAUUAGGAUAAUGGUCAGUGUGGUUUGGUUCUCGGUUAGAAACUGAGAAUUGCUCACCACUAGGGCUGGGAGUAUUCCUGGUUCAAGUUAUACUUACUAAGUUCACCCAUUAAAUAUAAUUUAGUUUCAAAUGUCUCCAAAUUUUGAUUUCGCAAAAGGUCCUUAAAGAAAGAAAUAUACUAAAUAGACAUACCACACUUUCAGGAACUCCUGGUGGGGGUAAGGACAGGUUCUUUGGCGGAGGACCACUUAGAUAGGAUCUCUUAUCGAAUCGCCAUUCUCCAAUUGUUCCAUAUGUUAGUUUUCCCUGGGUGACAACCGAAUUGCAAUAAACAGAAUGAAAGGUUGGCUAAGUUUAACAGUAAUUAAUCUUGUCAAAAUUUUCAAACAAAAGCAAUCAAGCAAAAAAAAAAAAAAUUUACCUUGAGAUCAUAGUCACAUCCAUAAGUAUAGUGAAUGAUAAACCUCUUUCCAACUUCCAGAUCCCAUGGUGGCUGAAAAAUACACAACAUUAUGUAAUAAUUCAAUGUAAAUAGCAAAAUUAAACAAGAAUUGAGUAUCAUGGAUACCUGUAUCAUGAAGUCCUUCCGAAGUAUAUGCCGAACACCAUGCAAUGCUGAUGCUACAGCGUAUGCAUACCUUAGUACAACAAAGACAUAUCAGAAAUGGGGAAGCAUAUUUCAGCCAUUCAAGAUCAACAUUUCUCAAUAAAAAAGAAGUGAUCUAAAAUAUUACUCACAUUUCUAGCACCCAACCAAAUGCCUUAUCAGUCUCUGGAUCAUCUUUCAUUCUCAAUGAGAUAUUCACCCAUGUUGGUGAAAUUUCCUCCAGUAGGGACUGGAAUAGAUAGUUUAGUUCACAUGUUAAUAAAUCAAUAUUGUCCCUGGUGAAAUCAAACAUUUCAACAGGAAAAACAAGAGUGACACAUCAAUGAGGAGAAGGAAGCAAUUCUUUAUAAACAAUCAUCUCCACCUCCUUGAUUCCGCCUUUGAAAUUUUCUCUCUUUCUUUACUUUUAUUUUUCCAAUUCUUUUUGAGCUUCUGAUGAAUGAAAAUUGAAUGGACUAUAAUGUAAUAGCAACAAAAGUUCUACCUUUUUUAUAAUCACAGGAGAGUUGCCAAUUGGAUCAACAUUUGUCACAGGGCCCUGUUGUUCCGGAUAAAAUUUUCUAAUAAUUUUUUCAUGUUCAGUUGGCUUAAUGUAGAAAAAUGGAUACCCAGCUGGAUGUUCUCCAUGUGCCAAGUUAGGCAAAGGAUUUACAAAUAUGUGGUCAGGCUCAGCCAUCAAAACAUACCUGCAUAAGUUAUAAAUGAUUUAACAUUCAAAUGUCAUAAACAAGUAGUAAGAAAAACAUAAAACACACAAAAGAUAAUGACCAUAAUAAUAAAAAUAAUAAUAAUACUAAAACUCCGUUUGUUUCCAAAAAAUAACUUACUUUUAGAAAAUAUUUCCAACAAAAAUGUUUUCUUAUAAAAUACUUCUCAAACAACUCAUUUUUGUUGUUUGGUUGCAAUAUUAAUACUUCUCAAACAACUCAUUUUUGUUGUUCGGUUGCAAUAUUGAAAAUUAGUCCAAAAAUAUUAACAAAAUAUUAAUUUAUUGACCAAAAAUAUUUAGCAUUAUAGUUUUCAUAUUUUAAAAUUUAUUGUUAAAUAUGAAAAAAAAAAAUGAUAAAAUGACAAAUGGCCAAUGACUUGGUGGUGGUUGGUAACUAAUGUUGAUUUGCAAUGAUUGAUAAUGGUGACCACUAGUGAUCAAUAGAUUAAUAAAUGUGUGUUUAUAAGAUUAUAGUAAGUUUAUCAAUAUUUGAAAAAUGUUUUCUUCUUUCAAAAAGAAAAAUUCAUUUUCCUUUAAAAUGACUUGGUUUUCCUUUUGACCAAGAAAAUAUUUUCCGUUGACUAUUUUCAUAAAUAUCCUAAAUAUAAAAAAAUCCAACAAAACUUUUCCAAGUAAAUUAUUUUAUGGAAACAAACGGAGCAUAAAGGUAGUGAGUUUAGAAUCUCACUCUUCAUCAAUUGUUGCUUUUUCCAGCCAUUGCACAAAAGCCCAUGGUCUGUUUAAGACAAUAUAACCCUGGAUACAACAUGAACUACUGCAUCAGAAUGAUUAACAAACUAUCUAAUAGCAAUAAACUUAGGAGCAGUGACUGCUUUCUGCAAAAAGAUAGAGAAACAGAAGGGUAGCAAAAAGGAUGUGGCAGAAUUUAAGCUGUCUAAUAUCCUUUGGUCAACUUCAACGUAGAAAAAAUGAUAUGUGUAUGCUUCUCAACUUUUGGUGGUUCUGUAAGUAAAGCUAGAUGCAUCAAAACAUAUAUAUGUUUAAUUUAAACAGUGAUUCCUUCUUAAUUCAAUUACUUUUUCAUACUCAUGUUAUUGCACCUUUUGAGCAGAUGAGCUUCUCAUCAUUUUUUAAAUAGCGUAACUUAAAUCAUGUGAAUCUUUGGUAUACAAUAAUAUUGCAAAACAAAUAAUAUCGCUCCAAAAAAUAAAAGUACUUAUGGCAGAAAAAUUUAUAAUGUAAAUCAUAAAGUAAAAAAAGUAGUCCUGCAACAUAAAGAGGAAAUCUUAAGGAAAAAUGCAAAAUAUAACUCUCAAUAUCUUAAACUCCAGUGAUAUUACUGCUAAGGCUAGCCAUAAUCUAGUGCUUUGUAGACCCUCCAAUAUUAACUUCUUGGAAUCUUUGACAAAAUUUUCAAUGGGAACAAAAUGCAAAUGUUGGAAGUACUUUGAUAUUGAGUUCCAACUUCCCUUAAUGGACAUUAGCGAUCUAAGGUGUACAGUGAGAAACUUGGAAUUGCAAGAAAUAAAAGGAAGAUGCGGGAUUAACAUAUCGAUUUGCUUUAAGCCAGCAAUCUAUUAUCGUUCAUUCAAAUAUGACUUUUUUGCUGCUGUUGGGACUAGCCAUUAUAGUUCAUUCAAUUCAUACAAUCAAUUCGUAGCCAUAUGACAGUUAAAAUCAUAUUAAUGGAUAAAUGAGCUUAUGAGCAAAAUAAAAAUCACAGAAGUGAGAAUGAUACACAUAAAUUCUAACUCGCAUUAUUUUGUUAUCAAUAUAUGGCAUUUAAAUGUAAAUAUGAGAAACUGAGAAACUGAAAAACUGAUCAUAAGAAGACUAACCCGAUCUAGCCCCUCUGGAAGAGGAUCAACAACAAAGGUUGGAAUCUCAUCCAUCAAUUGGUCAGCUUUUCCAGAAUGGAGAAUUCGAGUGAACUUUCCCAUGUCUGAUCCAGGCUCAUCUUUCAUCUUCUUAUACCAAUAGAACAUAAUCCGGCAUUGCCACUGGCUAUAAGGAGCAUCAGUAGCUGUAAGGGCAACAUGGUAUCUUGAAUUUGAAUUCCCUAAUCUCUUCACUUCUUCAGGCAUCCUUGUAAUGGGAUCAGAUAACUCCAAUUCAUCUCCUGAAUUUGAGCUAUUAUGCAUUACGAAUAUUAACAAGUUAUAUGUGGCAAAGAAAAACCCAAAGGACAAAAGCACCAAAAAGAACGGCGAUACUCGCCCCAUAUUUUUCCUCCCAAUCAUCUUGAAGUCCAGAGUUAGAAAAUGAAUUCCAACUCCUCAGAAGGUUAGAAAAUGAUUGCCAACUCCUCAGAAGUCACAAUUCAAUAGAACCUAAUUCUGUUACAAACAACAGCAUUUAAACUAAAGACAGAUUCCACUUAAACCCAUUUCAUUUCACAGCUCCAGAAAACAAAUUGUAGCAAAUAAAACCUCUAUAUCUUCAUGAAGAAUGUCCAGCGGAGCCUAUGAAAACCCGAAGAGAAACAAAAAGAGCAUGCACCAAUCUGCAUCACAAUCAACAUAAAGAAAUUAUAAGACUCAAUGUUACAAAACAAUAGCUAGAACAAAAACCCAGUUACAAAACACAACUAAAUCAAGUGCCAAACAAUCCCAGUUGUUAAAGAAUCAAGAAAAUGAGAAUCCACUUAUUACCCAGAACUCAAGUUGGUGAAUAAAUUAGUAUAUACAGAUCUGAUAUGGCUACUUAAAAAAGGUGUUAUCUCAAUGAAAUUUGACAUAGAAAAAGAACUAAAAGAAUCCACAACAGCGAAAGAAAGAUCAAAGAAUUAACAGGAAAAAAAAAUUCCGAAAAACAAAAAAUUAAAGAAUGCAAGAGAGGAGAAAGCGCAUUUUCACCUAAAGGAGUAGUGAGUGAGGCUUUCAAAGACGGAGAGAAAGAGGGAUUUUGGGUUUUUGUCAACGGUUUGCUGGACAACGCGGAUGUUUGACAAAUUGCAACCGAAACAAAUUGAAUCCAACGUUUAUCAUCAUUUACGGUGCCAUUUUUAUGGUAUGUCCUAUUGGGCUAUUGUUGAGUUUUAUGCCUUACUUAUAAAAGCUCGGGGCGGGGGGUAGGUUGGUGGAAGGCUGACUUGGAGAUGAUGAGGGAUGUGGCGACAAUUGGAUUUGGUGAAAUCCUCCUUUGUCGUUUUCUUCUAAUCUAAAUGAUUUUUCAAAAAAAGAAUUUGGGAGUUUGCAUUUCGUUCCUCUAAAUAAGGAAUGUUAGUUUCAGUGCUCUUUAUAUGAACUGUUUACCGCUCUUUUUGCUAUCAAUUUCAUAUCAAUUAAUUUUUUUAACAUAAUUUAGUACCUACUAAUGUAAAAAGAGAAAAAAAGUAAUUUUUUUGAUAAGUGAAUUAAAACUAUUUUUGUAUUUUUCAAAAGAAUUUUAUAUUUUUUAUAUAAUAUCACUUGACAACAUAUAUUUUUAUUUAAUUUUUUUACAAGAGUUAAAAAAAUUCCGGCUAUAUGCGCCUAGAAAAGUCCCAUGCCUAAAAGAGGAGGAGGGUUGGUAUACUAACAGUCAACGCAAAGAUCACUAAAACACACGUCGUUAUGAAUCAUUUCUUUAAUUCUACAAAACACAGUUGGAUUAUGCCCAUCUAGGCACGUGCUACAUUCACACCUGGAUAUAAUGUUAAAUGAACAAGGGGUUCCAUCAUAUGAGCAAGGGUUAUCACACCAAAGACAGGUUUUUAAGUUUUCUAAAUUUUUAAAUUUAAAUUUGCUUUAAUUUAUAAUAAUUAAUCGACUAUAUUAGUUUACUAAUGGAGAAUAUGUUGCAUAGAAGGUGUUUGAUGUUAGCAAUUCUUUUUUUUAGUCUAUUUGGUUUCUUCUGUAAAUUAACGGGGUAGUAUUGCUAUAUUUCAUCGUUAAUUUUUAAAUAAUUUCUUGAAUGAGACAAAUAUUGCUAUCCAAAAAAAAAAAUUAUUUCAUCUUAAAUCAAUGUUUUGGAUGGUAAUUUUUUGAAGGAAGGGUGCGAUAUAUAUUUCUUAAAAUUUUUUGUUUAAAUAGAUAAUUAAAGAGAUUAGAAUUUGACAAGUGAAUUCUGGUAUUUACAACUUGAAAGAGUGAGAAAAAAUAGGCUUUUUUAAAUGAGUAGCUUUAUGAAUAAUCUAUGUCUAUAUUCUCCUCUAAGAAAGAAGGAGCAUUGUUCCAAACAUAGAAGCUAGCAUAGUUACAUGCUAAUCCUUUGAAUUUGGUACCACCGGGUAUCAUACUUAACAACAUUUGCUACCUAAGGUUAUUCACUUCCAUAUGCACUGGUCCCGAUCUUGCAUAGAAAGUCAUUUGACAACCUCUCUCAAAACAAUAUAUUCUGCUAUAACUGGAACCACAAUCCCGGGGAAGUAACCAAAUUUGGCAAUAAGGAACAAAUCAUCCUGGUUUGGAAAUAUAAUAGUAAAAGAGUAUCUUUAUUGCUGCAGAAAAAUUGCCCUUAACAACUCCAGUCAGAAGUCAGGUCUAGGUGUUACAAAUGACUCGUGGUGCAGUAUGACCUUGUUGAACAAUAUCAAUCUGCCUUGAAGAUGUGACAAUGUAGUAUGGAGAGCACUACCUUUGAUUCCAUAUAUAAUAAUUCCUUGCAUUCCAUAUAUUCCAUGCAAGCAUUGCAAAUGUGGCAUCUCAGGCCUAGUAAGAUAUUGUCCACUUUGGGCUGAACCCAUUUAGGCCCGCACGGGUUUGUUCCUGGGCUAAAACCAACUUAUAGCCCAAAAGGCCUCUUACUAGUCUAAGACCAGCCCUUCCUUAUGUACUUCACUUCCACCUUAUACUUAACCGAUUACAAUUCACCUAGGGUGUCACGGUAAAUUUUUCCAACUCGUCAUUGCCCAUAUCAAAAAAGUGAUAUAAAGACAUUAUAAAAUGAUUCAUAGUUUGAUGGCACAGUAACAUCAUUAUCAAGAAGCUAAUAUGAAUGCACAUGAGAGCAAUAGAAGAUGGCAUGGCACAGAUCUUAUCAACAUUGCACAAAGGACAUGUCGGUAAUAUAUUAACAUUUUUAUCCACUAGUCUAGCAUUAUUAGGGACAAUAUUUUUAUAGGCACACCAUAUGAAUCUCAUGGCCUUAAGAGGAAGCUUCAGACUCCAUAACCAUCUCCAUACAGGCCCCCUAAGAUAUCUGGCUUGCGAAAGAAAGCCCAUGACAACACAUUGAUAUCCUGACUUGACAUUAUAUCUAGCAUGAGUCGUCCAAUGCCACACAAUAUUGUCUUUCUAAAGACCUGUGAUAUGCAAGUAACGAUAGAAUCUUGAUAACAUCAUAAGGAAGAAACAAACCCUUUAUCAUCAAUUUGUUCCAGUGCCCUACAAUAUCUUUUAAACCCGCCACUUUAAGAUCUUUAAAACUAGAAAUCAUUGGUGAACUAACCGAGAAUGGACCAUCAUUAGCUAACCAAGGACAUUUCCACAUAUUAAUAGAGGUUCUUGAGCCAAUCUACCACCGAACACCAUGCUUUAAAACCUCAACAACUUUAACAAGAUCCUUCCAAACAAAACUAGGAUUUGAACCUUCAGUCGCGUAAAAAAAAUCCACUUUUGAAAAAUAUUUUACUUUGAGAACAGAAAAUAGAAGGGUGGUUGGAGAAAAAAGUAGUCGCCAACCUUGUUUAGCCAAAAGAGAUAAAUUAAAAGCACGAAAGAGUCUAAAGCCAACACCACUAGAGACCUUACUAUGACACAUGCUUUCUUAUAAUAGCCAAUGGAUGGAUUGACUACCAUCAAGCUUUGAACUCCAUCAGAAUGAGUUCAUCAUCUUCUGCAACUCAUCAGCCAAAGAGAGUGUGAGCAGAAAAACUCUCAUAGAAUAAGCCGGUAAUGCUUGCGUGAUAGCAUCUUGAAGUACCAUCUUACCACCUUGGGAUGAUAACUUUUGCUGCCAACCACAUAUAAGAGACGAAUACAAUCCCUAAGAAAAGAAAACACAACUCUUUUAUCUCUACCAACCGGAGAUGGAAAACCUAAAUACCGACCAUGAUCAAGCAGACUAAAAAUUUCCAAGAUUUGAGAAAUCCAAGCACAUCUUCCAGCAUUAAUGUUUAUGCUAAAAAAUAUCCUACACUUUUACAAAUUAGCAAGUUGACCCUAAGGAACCUCAUAAAUUUGUAAAAUCCUUUUAAUACCUAAAGCCUCCUACUCAUUAGCUCGAAAGAAGAAAAAGCCAUCAUCGGCAAAUAAUAAGUGGGUAAUACUAGGUGCAUCCCAAGCCAUAGAACAUCCAUGAAUACUUCCAUUACUCAUUGCAUGCCCCAAUAAAGCUGACAAAUCCUCAGCAGACAAGAUAAACAAAUAAGAAGAAAACAUGCAACCUUAGCGAAAACCAUGAUGGGAAUAAUAGGUCAUAUAGCAGAGACGUUAAAAGAAACACAAUAAGUUAUAGAAUCAAUACAUAUAGCAAUGAGAUUCACCCAACACUCUGAGAAACCCAUAUGAAUCAUAAUAGUUCGCAGGUAGUUCUAAUCCAUAUGGUGAUGUGCCUUUAAUAAUUUUUCAUUGUGCUAAUAAAGGAUACAUAUUAACUAUAAAUAUUAACUUAGUUAUAAAUAUUAACUCAUUAAGAAUGUUAACUGUGACACCCUAGGCGAAUCUCAUAUCAGCUAAACACAAGGUGAAAGUAAUGUACAUAAGGAUGAGCAAGCGUUAGACUAGCAAGACGUGUUUUGGGCAUAAAGAUGAGGCUUUGGCCUAGAAACAUAACCAUGCGGGUUGAGCCCAAAGCGGGCAACAUCUUAUUGGGCUUGGGAUGUUACAGACUUGGUAUCAAAGCCAAACCUUGUCCUUAUGGCUGGUGGUGAAGGAAAACUCAUGCUGAGUACCUACCUAAGGAGGGUGUUUGUGACACCCUAGGCGAAUCUAUAAAGAUAGACAAGUCUUAGACUAACAAGAUGCGUUUUAGGCUUAGAAACGCUUAGAAGUGAGCCCUGACCUUAGGACCCAAAGAACAAAAUCACGUGUGUUGGGCUCGAAGCGAACAAUAUCUUACUAAGCUUGAGAUGUUAUAUUAACUCCAUUAGGAAUUUUAAUUUUUCUUAUAAACAUUUUGGUAUAAUUUUAUUUUCAUCUUUAUGUUCUAUUUUUGAAAUUAUAUAUGAGUAAUGUGAACUAAAUUUAAAUAACUCGUAAUGUAAAAUAGUUAUUAAAUUUAGAAAAACCUAUUGUUGAAUUAGUUUAUUAAUUUUCCUUUAUUUUUUAUAAUUAGUUAUGAUAAAACUUUAUAAUCUAUAAUGUUUUUCUUUUAACUUUUCAGUUAGUUUAUUAGUUUUAUGUUUAUGUGGUUUUUCUAUCUAUAUUCUAAAAAAUUAAAUCAUGAGCACAACACUAUAAUGCAAUGCACAUUAAAAGAUAUAGAAAUAAGCGGACAUUAACACUACCAAGAAAAUAAAAUAUAUUAAAUUUAAUAAUGAUAAAUUUCCUUUUGAUUUCGUUAAAAAAAUUUAAAAAAUUAUUAUUUAGAAGUUUUAAUUUAAUUUAGUUAGUUUAGAUUUGUAUAUAAGGAUUUUUAUUUAAAUAAAUAAUAAUAUAUAGAAAAAUAAGUAAAAAUAUUGGUAAAGGCUUAAAUAACUUAGUAUGCAUGUAAAUCAUUUAAAAAUUGCAAAUUAAAUAACGACUAAUUGCAAUGAGUCACAAUGCACAAGUCACAUUGCUUUCUUUCUUUUCUUUUUCUUUUUCUUUUUUUUUUUUUUUGAGAAAGACAAGUCACGUUGUUAAGUACAUGUAGGCAUGGCCACUGUUCCAGAACUGCCGAUUUCGGUUCCAAAAAAUUUGGAACUGGAAUUGAAUCAAAAAUUUUCAGUUUCGAUUUUGGUUUGGAACCGAAUGGUUCCGGUUCCUUAACGGUUCUAAAACCGACGGUUCCGGUCGGUUCUCCGAUCGGUUUUCUGGCUAAUCGCAUAAUUUUAAAUUUUAAAUUUUGAAGAUCGGUUUUCAAAAUUUUAAAAUUUGUGAAAAUUAUUUCUAAAAAAAAUACACUUAAAAAAUUAAAAAAUGCUUCAAUUAAAUUUAUUUUUUUUGAAAAGACUUGAACUUAAUUAUUUUUUUUAAAAAAGUCUUCAACUAAAUUUAUUUUUUGUUUAAAAAAGUUGGAACAUAAUUUUUUUUUUAAAAAAAGGGCUUGAACUUAAUUUUUUUAAAAAAUAAAAAAUUAAGUUGCCUACGUAUCCUCUUGGGGUUUAAAGGAAUCAAAGCUCAUGUAGUUCUUACUUACCUUAUACCAAUUUGACCCCUUUUGCAUUAUUCGCUAUUUCCACCACCGGUUGAUGUUCCCGUUGAGUACCCAUCGUAAAGAUCUUAUAAAUCUUCAUAUUCUUUUAGAUUUUCUUAUGCUUUUAGUUCGGCCUUACUCCAAUCAUCCACGCAUGAUUGUGCUUCUAGUGAAUCGGGUGGCAUACGAGAUCGUGUUUCAUCAAGUAUGUUUCCUCCUUGACUAAAAGCUUGUUCAACCGCAACAGUGGAGACCGGAGCUGCUAAAACUUGUUUUGCAAUUAAAGAAAGUAUUGGAAAUGAUUGGCGUGAUGACUCCAUCAAUCUAAAAUUGGAAAUUUAUUAUCUGCAUAAUUAUUACCAAACUCAAAAGAAUUGGUUAGAUAAUUAUCAAAUUCAAAAAAAGAACCGGGUUCCCUUGGUCUUUUUUGUCUUUGUAGUAAAACCCGUUCAGCAACACCAACACUACUUACCCUUUGAGUUGGAAAUUGUUGAAUAUUGAAUUGAGAAGAAUUAGAAGUAGAUGAACUAGAAAAUUGAACAAAUUCACUAUAUAAUUCUAUAAUAUUUUGUCUAACUUCAUGCAAUACUAAAUUUAUAUUAAUACUAUCUUCCAUAUCAAGAUUUAAUAAUUCAUAAUAAAUAGUCAAAUAUUCACAUAAAACUUCAAUUUUACAUCUAGAAUCAAAUACAAUAGCAACAAGAUAAAGGGAUGUUAUAUUUUUAAAAUAAGAUAACUAUUUUUUUUUCAUUGAAAAAACACAAUAUUUUAAUAUAAAAUCAUUUUCAAAUUCUUGGAGUGCACUAACAAUAUUAAUACACAUAGGUAAAAAUAAAUGAGAUGUGGGAUAAUAAACCCCANNNNNNNNNNNNNNNNNNNNNNNNNNNNNNNNNNNNNNNNNNNNNNNNNNNNNNNNNNNNNNNNNNNNNNNNNNNNNNNNNNNNNNNNNNNNNNNNNNNNNNNNNNNNNNNNNNNNNNNNNNNNNNNNNNNNNNNNNNNNNNNNNNNNNNNNNNNNNNNNNNNNNNNNNNNNNNNNNNNNNNNNNNNNNNNNNNNNNNNNNNNNNNNNNNNNNNNNNNNNNNNNNNNNNNNNNNNNNNNNNNNNNNNNNNNNNNNNNNNNNNNNNNNNNNNNNNNNNNNNNNNNNNNNNNNNNNNNNNNNNNNNNNNNNNNNNNNNNNNNNNNNNNNNNNNNNNNNNNNNNNNNNNNNNNNNNNNNNNNNNNNNNNNNNNNNNNNNNNNNNNNNNNNNNNNNNNNNNNNNNNNNNNNNNNNNNNNNNNNNNNNNNNNNNNNNNNNNNNNNNNNNNNNNNNNNNNNNNNNNNNNNNNNNNNNNNNNNNNNNNNNNNNNNNNNNNNNNNNNNNNNNNNNNNNNNNNNNNNNNNNNNNNNNNNNNNNNNNNNNNNNNNNNNNNNNNNNNNNNNNNNNNNNNNNNNNNNNNNNNNNNNNNNNNNNNNNNNNCAUGUAAUGCCCAUUUAAGAAUGCAUUUGCCAAUGAUCACUCCAAAUAUCACAACAAAUUGAAACACGAAUUUUCAUUUCAGAAAAUAAAAGCUCAAACUUUUUUUUUUCUUUUUUAUACAAAGAAAUAAUAGUUCGUUUUACAGUAUUUCUUAGUACUCUUUUAGCAAAAGGAUUUAAAGCUUUUUGACAAUAAUUAUUAAAACCGACUUCUUCACCAAAACUANNNNNNNNNNNNNNNNAAAUCAUUUUUGCUAAUUCUUCUUUUUGUAUUUUUUCAGAAUAUUGAAAUAAAGAAAUGUUAGAAGAUGCGUACCCUGAAAUUUGUAUUUGAGACCGAUCAACUCCUGUUUUUGUUGGAUGUUUUGUCUCCAAAUGCUUCCAAAAUGAUCCAUAGCCGCCCGAUUGUUUAAAUUUAUAAGAAUUUCCACAAUAAUUGCAAAUUACAUCGAAUAUUUUGUCACCUUUGAAUUUUUUUGUGAAAUGAAUAACGAAUAUGUUAGAACUCCGUCUUGCUCUUCGAAGAAGUUGUGUACCUUGCUCUNNNNNNNNNNNNNNNNNNNNNNNNNNNNNNNNNNNNNNAUUCAGAUUCUUGAGUUGGAAUUUCCAUAUUUUCAUUUGGAUAUCCCUCAAAAUUAAAUCGGUUGGGAGUGAAAUCGAAGAUGUCAUUUGUAGGGAUAGAUGAAUAUUGUGUUUCUCCAAUCUUUCCCUUGCCCUUAGUAGAAUUUGAGUUUCCUCCACUUGUCAUUAUAUGAAAAUAAUAUAUAAUUUGGAAAAUUGAAUAAAAAAAAAUAGAGAUAAUUAUUAGAGAUUGGAAUUAGAGAUUGGAAGUUGAAUAAAUUAAUUCACAAUAAAUUGUGAAUGGAAAUUAGAGAGAUUGUAGAGUAGAGAAGAAUAAUAUAGAGUAGAGUGUAGAGAGAGUAGAGAUUUUUGUGUGAGAAAAUUGUAAAUGGAAUUGGAAUUGAAUGAGGUAAUUAUAAUAAAUCCAAAAAAUCAUUUUUCCACAAAUAUCCUUGAAACUAACUGUUAUAUAACCGUUUAUAGUUGUUGGGAGGGGUAAUUAAGAGAUUUCACAACAAAAUUAAAAAAAAAAGAGCUGCUGACAGUUUGUAACGGCUAGAUCCCCGGUUCAAAUCGGUUCAAAUCGACGGUUCGAACCGACAGUUCUAACCGGCCAAAAAAUCGGCGGGGGCCCGGUUUCCAAAAUAUUGGAACCGGAACCGAACCGUAUACCUCCGGUUUCGGUUCCCACCGGUUUCGAUUCCGAUUCGGACCGAUUCCGGUUCUGGGAAUCGUAAUAUGGCCAUGCUUAAGUACAUACAAUGUAUAAGAUCAUAUAUUAAUGAAGCACAAUAUUGAAACGAGACUUCCAAAAUAAUAAAUAUUUGUUUAGGUUUUAAAUUUGCGAUCUAUUACUCUAUAAACACUUGAUCACUUUCAAAAUAUUUUCAUAUUGUAAUUAUUGUUAUUAACUAAGUGAUUGGCAAAAAGACUAAAAAAAGCCUCAAUUUUAAUCUUUUUUUUUUCCAAUUCUAACUAUUUUUAUUUAAUUUUAUCAAUUGAUAUCGUAAAUUGUUAUUAUUAAUAUUAUUUUUCACAACCGUGACCUCUAUCCACUUACCAUUCAAAACUUUGAUAUAGCCGUUAAGUAUAAUAAUUGAGUCCAUAUAUAAUUUAGUUAAUUAUGAGUAAACAAAUAAUAAAGUUCAAUAAUAAAAAAGAGUGUUAAUGAUUUUUCAAACUUUUUCGAUUAUUUGGCUUUUAUUAUUUGCUUAUUCAACACCAAGUAAGCUGUAUGUGGAGUCCACUCGUUAAAUUUAAUGACCACAUCUCCAUGUUUUGGACAAUAUAUAAAUGGGGGCUAUGAUUUAUGGAAAAAAAAUCAUGAUAUUUGUUAACUAUCAUAAUUAAGAAUUGAGAGUAUUUGAGAAUUCGUUUUCGCUUGGAGUAAAUUUGGGUUAUAUAUAUUGGAAUAAGGAUAACUUUAUUAGAAUAAUGAUCAUGAGAAUCUUACAUUAUUUGUUAGUUAGAGUUUAUUUGAGAGUUUAACAUCCUUUAAUGUAUUUAUAUAUUGUCCUUUUAAGUAUUUUAUUAUCGUACAUUAUCAAUAGUCCUCCAAAAAAUGUUGGUCAUUUAUGUCCAACAAAUGUUUAAAUUUAAAUGGAUGGACUGCUUAAAUAUGAGUUGUUCGACUGCUUAUGUCCGAGUUAAUGGACUAUUUAUGUCCGAACUGAUGGACUGUUUAUAGACCGCUUAAGUCCGAAUUGGAAAAUUGGUUAUGUCCGCACUGAUGGACUAUUUAUGGACCGGUUAAGUCCAAACUAGAGAAUUGGUUAUGUCUGAACUAAUGGACUGCUUAAGUUCAUUUUGUUGAGGACUGCAUAAGUCCAAAUUUAUUGAGGACUACUUAAGUUCGGAUUUAUUGAGCUUUAUUUGAUUGUGGUACCUGCGCUUUUAUCAUGAUAAAAAGAAUGAAAACUAAUUAAUAAAAUUGCUUUAUCUUAUUGAAAUGGAGACAAUAAAUAAAUAUUGUUGUCUUAUAAAUUCAACUUAACAUUUCAUUAGCAAUCAGUAAACAGUAAAGAAGAUAAAAUAUGUAGCUCAAUUUUAAAAGCAAUGAUAUAUUCAGCAAAAUAGUAACGAGAUUGUAAUAUAACAUUACAAAAGAUAUUGCAUGUUUUAGAUACUAUUUUUUAUUUUUUAUUUAUUGUAUUAGUCAUUUAUUUCUAUUACGUUGUUGUUCAAUUUGUUAAACUCUGGUCGAUCUUUGCUAUUCAUGCAAACUAAAAAUCAAAAUUUAUUCUUUUCUUUGUUAGAAAAAAGGGAAGGAAAGAAAGAAUCAACAAAAUCGAAGGACUCAACAUAUUCAACCAAUCACCAUCCUUGGAGCAAAUUACUAAAAUAUAUGAAGAAAAAAAGUCAAUAUGAAAAUUGAUAAAUAAGUUCACCGUAAAAAGUUCAUGUUCCUGCAACGACACUUCCUGAAAGUGAAAAAUAUUUCUAUCUUUAAGGAGUUUAAAGACUUAAACCAAAACCUGAAGUUUCAAUGUUUCUUAUCGGUCAGGUCAUAAUAUUGUGUUAAAUCAUCUUUAGUAAGUUCCAAAAAACGAACUCCCAACUCCUACAUUCAUCUCAACCAGUAAUUACAGUAAGAGUUAGAAAGGUUUUCCCUGCUUUUAAUUCUAAAGUCCAAAUCAAGAAAGAUGUAAAUCACAUCAAGAAGACACCUCAAUUGCAUUAAUACUAAGAUUUGCUUCACAUACAAUAAUAAAAUAUAUUAAAAUAAUAAUACUAGACUCCUAAAUAAUCUCAAACUAACAAAUAACGUAGGAUUCAUAAUUCUUAUCCUAAUACGACUAUCUUAAAUCCAAUGUAUAUACUCCAAAAUUACCCCAAGGAAGGGUUAAUUCAUAAUUUACUACACCUCAAAUUCUGAGAGUUUAACAAUUGGUGGUGUGAGCAUGAAACAUACCUUCAACCCUAAAAAAAAAAAAAAUCCCAACAGUUUCGAUUUCUAUGGCUAACGAUUUCACUAAAUGCCUCAACAUGGAAGGCCAAGACAAUACCCACGACGAGGCCAACCAACAACCCACAUUCGCCCCUCUACAAACCACUGAUCCCCAGGCAGCUGCUCUAGCUCAGGCUUAUUCACAAUUCACCAUCAUGCUGAAACGCCUCUUGGAGAAUCCUCAGCCUAGUGGCGAACUAAUACCACCCACCAGGUAGGCGAAUCUUCCCCACCAAGAAUAUAGCCUCCCUCCAACUUACCUAAAUACCAAAGUCAUUCAGUAUUUGAUCGAUACCAUGAGGCGGAAUCGGAGGUACACCCUAGCGCGACCAUCCCCAAUAGCCAAAAGCUAAGUCACACCCAACCAAUCUUGGACAGAGCUAAUCUCCAAAAUGUUGUCAAGGAAUUGGUUCAAGAGUGUAGAGAGACAGGAGAAACAGGGGAUUAUGGUCUCCUAUAAGACUCGUCUUUGUCAGCUGAUAUUUUGGUUGCCGCUUUCACCAAGGUUCAAACUUCUUACUUUCCAAUUGCAUGAAGGAUCUACCAAUCCUCGAAGCCAUCAGACGACCUUCUGAACUAUGAUGUACCUUCAAACCAAUUCGGAGGAUCUAAUGUGUAAGGUGUAACAUUCCCGAGUUGAGUCAUUUCAUAGAGUCGAGUUGAGUCGAGUUGAACCAAACCCGGUUGGGGUAGAAUGAGAUUAGAAGUGGACUUAUUUGAAUGAGAGGAAAAGAUCAAAGCAUAUAAAGGAGAGGAUUCAAUUGCAUUAAAAGAUCAAGCUUGGGUAUUAAGUUGUAACCUUUGCAUAAUUGAGGUGCCAUGUAGGAAGUUUUACAUCUAUUUUGAUAGCCUACCCGUAAAAAUCAUUUUCACUUUCCCAUUUUUCAUGUUUAUCUCCAUCUUCUUCAUCUCCUUCCCUUCCCUUCCUUUCAUUUUCAUGGUAGUUGUGGUAAUUAAGCAUUAAGGCAACCUCAAUUUGCAACAAGUAAGUAAGUAGUAUAUCUUGAAGCUUUGUGUUAUUCAACUUCUUUGAGUUAUAUUGUGGGUAAUGUAUAAGAAUUGUUAUGGAUAGGUGAAGGAAGUUCCAAGAGUGUAGAGAAGAGAAGCUAGAAGAGCUCAAGCUUUUGGAGUGGAGGUUUGAUAUCUCUUUUCAUUUGCUAUUGGCUUUGUAUGGAAUUUGUGUGGUGUGUUGAUGAUGAGACAAUAUCUUGCUCCAUGUUGAAUGGGAGAACUGGAAAUGUUGAGAAAACAGGGGAGACCUUCAUCUUGAUUUUGACCCCAUUUAUUGCUUGAUUUUGACCCCAGUUAAUGGUGGAAUUAGGAAGUGUCAUAGAAGAGUUAUUUGUUCCUCUAUGUGUUAGCUUUNNNNNNNNNNNNNNNNNNNNNNNNNNNNNNNNNNNNNNNNNNNNNNNNNNNNNNNNNNNNNNNNNNNNNNNNNNNNNNNNNNNNNNNNNNNNNNNNNNNNNNNNNNNNNNNNNNNNNNNNNNNNNNNNNNNNNNNNNNNNNNNNNNNNNNNNNNNNNNNNNNNNNNNNNNNNNNNNNNNNNNNNNNNNNNNNNNNNNNNNNNNNNNNNNNNNNNNNNNNNNNNNNNNNNNNNNNNNNNNNNNNNNNNNNNNNNNNNNNNNNNNNNNNNNNNNNNNNNNNNNNNNNNNNNNNNNNNNNNNNNNNNNNNNNNNNNGGUUUGGCCCUUGGCCUGGAAGCGCUCGCGACUUGCGUUGCGCGCUCGCGUAGUUGGCAUGAAAACUCACUGUCUCUCAUUUGGCACCCUACGCGCUCGCGGCUCUCAAGUACGCGAUCGCGACUUGUGCCUGAUAACACACUGUCUCUUAUUUUCUGCAUUACGCGACCGCGACCUCCAUGUACGCGCUCGCGACUUGGUUUUUCCUGCAUUUUUGGACUUUCUUUUUCCAUUGAGGUUAGGUAGAAACCAUGUAGAUAAGGCUAUGUCGCGACAUAGAAUAGCAGAUCUGCGCCCCAUACAGUUUGGAACUCCGGCUACAGGCCGUUGAGUGGAUAUGAUUAAACCGUGCGGUGCGAAUCCGGUUAGGGGCACCAAAACGGACAAUAUUGGCAUAGGCGAAUCCGGUUAGGGGCCUAUAGCAUACAGUUUUACCCAGUUUCAUACAGUUUAUCUUAUCACUUCGGUUUCACUAUAACCUUAUGGAGCCAUUCAGAUAUCUUGACAUAACAUUUCAUGAAUUAUACAGGAUUAUAAACAGUACAAAAGAUAAUCAAGAUAUCAUGAAAGUAUCAUAAUGUGUGAGCUUAUAUGUGCCAUAUAUGUUUCCAUGGUUCUUUCUAUAUAUGUAUGUGUUUAAUUGUUUCUUUAUUUGUUGAGAUAUCCACUGAGCAUUAUUUGCUCAGCGAGUUACCUGUUUAACUCGCAGGUUUUGAGACUGGUCCAUAGAGAGUCCGCGUACAACUGCUGCAGUUCAUCUGUAGAAGACUCGGUCUUCAGGGUAGAAACUCAUUUUGUUUUUCUUUUUAUGGCAUGUACAGGGCAUUCCUUUGGGCCCAUUUCCUUUUGUAAACUUGUAUCAUGUUUUGUAAAUAUAAAUUACAUUAUUUUUGUAAACAGUACCAGCAUGUUAUUAUAUUCAAUAUAUAGUAUGUUUUCAGCAUGUCAGACCAUACAGUCAACCAGUUUGUAGCAUCUCGACUCGGUUCAUUCGGGUUUACGGGUGGACCGGGAAGGGGUGUUACAUAAGGUCUUCCUAACUACCCUGAAAGGAGCAUCUCAAGAAUGGUAUCAAACGCUCAAACAUGAUCCAUUCAUUCCUUCUCCUAGUUAGCCACAACAUUCUGAGCUCGUUUCAUAACAUGUAUACUAUCGAGGAAAAUAUUGUCUGACUUGGUAGAUUUAAAAAGAGAAGAGGGAGCCCUAAGGCAAUACGUAUCCAAAUUUCAAAGAAUGGCGAUGCAAGUGGAGAACUUGAAUGAUGAGUUGGUCAUUAGCUCUAUGGCAAAAAAUUACAGGUACUAAGAAAUCAUGGAAAGAGAAACCUUGGUUUGCCUAAAACAUCCUCAGCUUAAAUAAACAUAAAUGCAAAAUUCAUAGUUUUGGAAAAAGCCAGGACAAUAGAAAGGUAGAAUAAGACAUGCUUGGCUCUGGUGGCUGAUGAGACAGUUAUUGUGCACUUCCAGUUAUGGGGAGAUGAGUGUGAUGCUUUUCAAGCUGGUGACAUUGUCCGUAUUUUCGCUCCCUCAAAUUAAAUUUAUAAAACUUAUUAUUUCUUUCUCUUUUUUUUUUUUUUUUUGAUAUUAUGUAAUGGCUAUGGAAGAUACUCAUAAAAAAUAAGGUAAUUUCCCAUGUCACCAUAUGCUUCCUUCCCCAUAUUUAGUUCAUGUUGCAAAGUGCCAAUAUAUAUAGGGGUGGCUAUUUCACGUUUUUUGGAACCGAAAUCAAAACUGGAACCGUGAAGAACUGGAAUCAGUCCAAACGGGAAUUGAAACUAGGGGUUUGUGGUCCGAUUCUGGUUCCAACAUUUGAGAAACCAUGAACCACGGUUCCAAGAACCGACCGAAACCAACAUUUUUUCAAUCGAUUAGAACCGACUAUUCCAAACAAAUUUGAAUUUUUAGGUUUAACAGCUAGAACUGGCGGUUCCAUCCGGUUUCAACAACUUUUUUUAUUUUUCAAAUAUUUUUGUGAAAUCCCCAAAAUAACCGUCCUAACAACUAUAAAACGCUAUAUAAUGGCUAGUUUUAAAGGUAUUUGUGGAAAGUUUAUUUUUUGGAUUUACUAUUGAUACCCAUUUUCAUUUAUGCUCUCAAAUAAAAUUAUCUCUACUCACUACUAUCUACUCUAUAUUACUCUCUACUCUACAAUCUCUCUAAUUUUCAUUUAUAAUUUUGUCAAAAUUAUUGUCAAAUAAUUUGUCUAAAGUCCAAUCUUCGAUUAUUGUCAAAAUAAGUUCGAGCCUUUUUUUUAUUUUUUCUUAAAAUUUUUUAAAAAAUUAUUUCAUAAAUAUUUAAAUUUUAAAUUUUCAACAAGAAAAUAUUCCCCAAUUUUUGAUUUUGUAAUUAUGCGAUUCGCCGAAAAAUCAGCCGAAAUCGUCGAUUUUGAAACCGUUAAGGAAUCAGAACCAUACGAUUCCACAGCAUAACUGGAACUAUCAGUUUCCACUUCCAAAUUUUUGGAAUUUGAAGCCGAAACUAUGACCACCCCUAAAUAUAUAGGUGUCAUGAUUAAUUUCCUCGAUCCAUUUCAUCAACCACCAUAUGUUUUGAAAACAUUACAUGACAAUGGGAAUGGCCUUCCAAUUAAACUAAAUUUAAGUUUUAAGCAUGCAAAGCUUUCGGUUUAGAUUCUUGCAAUUAAAAUAAAUUUGCUCUUUGAACCGUGAUUUAGUUUAGAUUUUUUUGAAAGAAAGUAUUUGGAGCGGUAUCAAAUUAGGGUGAAUGGGUCAUUUUGUAGAUUUUGCUAUGCUGUAAACCUACAGAUUUUGCUAUGCUGUCAACCUACGUGGAGAAAAUGUCAGUCUACGUAAAUAGACACAUAAGCGUCUAUGGAUCCCAAUUAGUCCCAUUAGAUAUUCCCGAUUGUCCAUGUACAUCAUGAGAUACCAAAUUAAAAAAAAAUUAUAAAUUUAGAUACUCAAUUGUCACAAUUUUCUAUUCACACACCAAAAUAAAAAAAAAUAUAACAUUUUAAUACCAGAUUAACGUUAUACCUUUAUUUUAUGUUUGUCUCUAAUAGGAAAGAAUGCAUGACAUUUAGUUAGUGUAAUAAUGGAUAAAAAUAAUAAUCCCUUUAUUCUAAAAGAAUAAUUUUCAUUGUUUUUACAUUUUUACAUAAAUUACGAAUAGGUAGUUAAAUUAGUUCAAUUUUACACGCAUUUAUCCUUCUUUUCCUAUAUAUACCCAAUAUAUUAAUAAUUUUUUGAUUAAAUUUUGAAAUUGUUUAUAAUGUUUUUCAAUUAAAAAUUAAUAUCUCGGCAUAUGUUUCAAUUACUUUAUAUUUAUAUUUGACUAAAUAUUUAGUAAUUCUAUUAACAUUAAUUAUUGACACAAAUUAUAAUAAGGGUAUUAUAGGAAAAUUAAUAAAAAGACUAUUUCUAAAAUGGAAAUGAGACUAUUAUUUUGGGACACCAUUUUGGAUAGUGAAAAUAUUUUUUUAGGAUGAAGGGAGUAACUUAUUAAGGGCGAAAGAUAAUUGAAUGGAUUUCAUCGCACCUGAAUGUAACAUAAUAACAGAAAAGGGCAAAGCCGAAAAUCAAUAAAUGUUUAUGAAGGGUUACAAAUUGGAAUUCUACAUUCUCAUAUGGUUGUUUUUGAAGCCCUUCUUGCAAGAAUGACCCAACAAAGAACACGAUAGAAAACAAAGAAGCCCAACAUAACCCCCACAUUAAUCCAUCUAUUGUCUUUUUCAAGUCCUCUACUCUUCAACACAUCAUUCCCAGUAACCAAACACUGAGAAUGAUUUUCUUGAUAAUGCCAAGAAAAACACUCAUUUCUCAAACUCCAAUACUCAUUUACCAGAAGACUAUCUAAUGGGUAUCUGUAUAGAGAAAUGUAAUACAUAAAAAUCCAAUACUUAGGAAUAUUUUCUUUGGGUAUAAAAUACCCAGAGAAAAGGAAAAAAGCACCAAGAACUGUGCAUAUUAAAGAAUUCCCUGAAAUAAAAUCAGGAGAAAUAGCACUUAGAAAAAGAACUAAAGAAGAAGCCAUCAAGACUAUUAACCAAACAAUAAAAGUAAAGAAUGUGAAAGCCGAAAUGGAAGGGUUAAGCCCUACAAGCCAAUAAAUUGGAAUAGAGAAAAUAACAGCAACAGCAAGCAAGAAAGGCAAGAAAAUAAUUGUAUUGGCGAUUAUGUAAGAGGAAAUGCUAUAAGCUGCUCUAGAAGCUUCUUUCAUUAGAACUCUUCUUUCUUGAAGAAAUAUUGGAAGAGCUUCAACUGUAGAAGAAAGAAGAAAGCUAAGGCUGAAGGCAAAAAGCCCUAAUCUUUCUGCUAUUCCUUCUUCAUCUUUUUUAACUUUGAUAUAUACACUAGCUAAACCAAACCCACCAACUAAUGCUUGCAGUGUUCUUGCCAAUAGUAGUUGCUUUGUUCUGUAAAUGACUUUCGAAAAUCUCGAGCAAAGAUAAAUAAUCUCAUGCAAAUGUAAAAGAGAAGAAAUACCCUUUUUUUGAAUACCUUGUUCUAUUUGAAAAGCUGAUUCCUCUUGCCAAAUUGAGUAUUGCAAAGGAGAUAUAUAAGUUAUGGAUUUUGAAUGCUCACCAAGUGUUUGUAUAAUUUCCAUAGAAAACUCGAGAGCAUUGAGUUGCAUAGGAACUUGAAAUCCCAAAUUAUAUAUUGUCUCCUCCAGUGAUUCUAAGCUACCAUUAUAAACCACACAACCAUUAGAAAGGAUUAAGAAGUUAUUAAUAAAUCCAAGUAUUCUAUAACUUGGUUGGUGUAUAGAAAAUAAAAUUGUUCUGUGUUUUUCUUUUGCCAUAUUUGAAAGUAACUCAAUAACUUGAAGAGCUGAGGUACUGUCUAGGCCUGAAGUAGGCUCAUCAAGAAGCAAAAUUGGCGGGUCAUUAAUUACAUCAACGCCUAUGGAUACCCUUUUUCUUUCUCCACCUGAUAUGCCUCUAUUCUCUUCAUCACCAACAAAGCUAUUGGCAACAUGCGAUAGGCCAAGCUCUAACAUUAAACUCUCUACCCUCUUCUCUUUAUCUUUUGUACUCAUUUCUUUGAGUCUAAAUUUUGCACCAUACAUUAGAGUUUCUUUCACUGUCAGUAAAGGAAGCAAAUUAUCUUCCUGUGCUACAAAUCCACAUAUCUUCCUUAACUGAGCUGGCUUAUAUAUAAACCGAUCGUUUAUGGAUACACUCUUUGGAUUAAAAUCUUUGUCUUUAACUCUUCCAGAUAUUAUCCGAAGAAGAGUAGAUUUUCCAGUCCCACUUGGACCAACAAUGGCAAGAAGUUCAGAGCUUCUUGCUUGAAAAGAAACUGAUUGAAGUAUGUUAAUAGGCUUAGGCUUUUGGCCUACGUGAAAGAAUGAAGCAAACGUUGACUCACAAGAAGAAAUGGUAUAGGAAAGAUUUGUUACAGUAAGUUUGUAAGGCACUUGUGAAUGGUGUUGAGGUGGCGGUGGUGAGUGGCGGGAAGAGGAGGAGCGGCUGGUGGAUUCCUCAGAAGUUGAAAAGAGAAUAACAGAGUCAUCUUCUAUUGUUGGUUGAUUGAAACAAGAAGGCACUUUUGUUAGCUCCAUUUAGUGGAUAUGGAAGCAUAUGCAAAUGCAAAUGCAAGUGGAGAGCCUUUUAAGUGGGAAUUUUAUUGAGAUUAUGUGAAGUAUGGUGUGGGAGUUGGGCCAACCAAGUUAAAAUUCUUGAUUGCUUGAAGAAUUAAUUAGGAUUUGGUUAGUGUUUGGUGAUCUGGGAAGGUUGACUAUUUUACAUUGCUUAUCAGAAGUUUCAAAGUAAUAUUUCAUUUCUAUACAUUUCAAAUUUCUUGAUGUUGGUGAUGAUUAAGGUGCUAUCUCCAUUAAUGAUAAUGGUUCAAUUUUUUAUAAACAGGAUUAUUUUUUUACUUCUAAUAAUUAUGGAUUUUUUGUGUUUUAUGUGAAUAAUUUAUUUUUAAUUAGACUGAACUACUUAAUAAUAUACUCAAAAAUUAAUUCAUGAUACUAUCUAAUAUAUAUAUAUAUAUAUUCUUAGGCCGUUUAUAUUGUCAUUGAACCUAAUACGUAAUUUAGUCUUUGAAUAUAUAAAACCAUACGCUAAAAAUGGUAGGUGAGAAAAUACUCAGAUUUUCGCAAGGAAGGAACCACAUUAACAAAUGGGUUUUCCCUCGAAAUACAAAAAAAAAGAAUAACAAUAAUGUUUUCAAGAUCAGAAGUGAAGUGAGACAAUGACUAACAAAGCUUGGGCCAGUGUCAUAUAACAAGUGGGCCGGACCGAAGUGAUGUACGCAAGAUGAGCCCAUUGGCUCUUACCAGUUUCUAAUGGGCUCUUACCCGAAUCUCCACCGCGGUUGUGGAAAGUGAAAGUAAUCAUUCCCCUCCUAUCAAACUUUAAAAAUUAGUAAGGGAAAAAUAAUUAUUUGGUCCCUGACGUUUGGUCAAAUUAAUUAACUCGUUCGAGCAAUUUGACAAUAUUAUCUUGAGGUUUAACUCCUUGAGGUUUAACUCCAUCAGCCUACUUAGUUUUUCUGCUCAUUUUUUUUUGAGUUAAAAUACGUGAAAAAAUAAGAAAAAUGUGAGACAAUUAAUUUAAAAUGACAUUACUUGCCCUUUAACCUAACCUACCUUUUUUCCUAUUUCUUGCGCAAACAAUAGCGGUAUCUUACCCUUCAUAUUAUGAUGGUAAAUCAGAUAUUGGAGCCUAGGUGUUCAAAUUCUACCAAACCUGAAUUGGCCUAUACUGGCAUGCUCAUUCCACGAAACGACGAUUCAAGGAUGCAUACUCCUCUAUGACAAGAGUUCGUUGUCAAUUACUUCACGAUACUCCUUGAUGCUUGGGUACUAAGCUUUGGUCCAUUUCAACAUAAAUUCCUGAAUUGGAUUUCGAUAAAGUCGUUGUAGCUCCCAAAAUCAUUGAAAAAUUAUAGACAUUUGUGUCUUCUCCCAUUUUAACAAAAAAAACUAAGCUGCAUAUAAAUGAUUUCAGAAACAAAAAGGAAGAAAGUAGACUUUUAAGACUUGGCAUUGUGUAUAUGGUCAAAUAUUUAAUAUUCAUGCUUUGAAAUCUAGGCGUUAGUUAAUAUCUAUUUGUAGCAAAUGUUUUGAUUUGAAUGUAUGGAUUUUUUGGUGGGCUGUAGUUGUCACACAAGAUGUUUGAUCAAAUGCCUGGUACAGAUUUACUUUCUUGGGACUCUUAAUUAAAACGUUAUGUAAUCGGUGAACAGUUAAGAAGAGAGAUGAUAAGGAUGGAGAGAAAGAGAGUUGUUUGAUUGUUUUGGAGAAAACAGAUAGAGAGGAGAUAGAGAGGGUUGUUUAGUCCUCUGCAUGUUUGUUGUUGAUGGUGCAUUGGUAUGGACGGAGGAAGAGAUUGACAACGUUAUUUUAGUAUUUUUAUUACUAAAUAUCAAGGUAUUUUUCGUCAUUUCCCGUGAUUUUAACAACAAAUUUUGACAAUUUGGACGGAAUGACUAAAUAGUCUAAUAUGGUUAAUCCUCAGGAAUCAUUAAUUAAUAUUGUUAAACUGCAGGGACGAGUUAAUAAAUUUAGUCAAACGUCUGGGGGAUGAUAUAAUUAUUUUUUCAAUUAUUAAUUACAUUAUUUUUGGAUCACUUCCAAUGUCAAUAAAAUUAGGCAGGUUUUUCGCUCUUGGUUUAUUCGGAUUUCUCAUAUUUUUAUGUAAUAAAUUUUGGUCAAAUACGAAAAAUUGUCUACGAAAACUUUUUCUAUGAAAACUUGUCUGUCACAUAACCCAAUCCUUUUGUCUGUCGCUCUCUUAUCUUUACCAAAACUAUUUCCAUUGGUUAACAUGAUUCCAUUUUUAGACUUUCGACAGCAAUCAACGCUUAUGGUUAAAUAACUUCCAGCCAUCAUUGACAAUGAUCGAAUUACCCAAAAUUUAUUCAAAAUCUGGAGGAAAUAUAUCUUAGAAUUUUGGGGAAUAUUUUUGCACCGCUUUUAUAAUUUUUCGGGCAGAGGAAUAUUUAUCGAAUAUUUAUUUAUUUUUUAAUUCAGGGCUAAAUAAGGUGUAAAUAAAAGAUAACGUGCUAUUAGAUGUCACCAGGUAAACAAUCUAUCAUUUUCGAAAAGGUAUAAAAUCACUCGUGGUUUAGAAACUGUUCUGCAAAAUUACCUGUUUUAAUAUCGUUUAGUUGUUUGAUGUUUGAGUAACUUUUCAUAAAACGCUAAAUGUUAAACGUUACAUGAGUUAAUUUUUUAUAAAACGUUACCUUAACUUUUAGAAGUUACUUCAAACGUUAAGUUAUCGAACACUAUAAAAAAAUAGUGUUUAGUGUUUUGACUAAAAAUUAUUUAAAAAGUUAUUACCGAACAUAGAUUUAGAAUUAUAUGCCGGCAAAGUAGACGGGUAAGUGGUUGUGCAAAUUUGAUUAAUCCAAUAUAAACUUGUCAAAAAUAUAAUACCCCUUAACCUUGUUAGCAAUUUCUUCUGCAGAAGGGCGGACAAACGCCUAUAAAAGCGUUUGUAUUAGAAGUAAAAGGGUUCGUCUUGGUCCCUAUAUAUACCCAUGUAUUUGAAGUUUUAUGAUAUAGUAGAACACCACAAAUUAAGUUUUUCUUUCCUCUUCCUUAUAAUUCUAACAAAGGGCUUAGACCAUUGGUUAUUUGGCUUUAGGAGACAUAAAUGGCUUCUCAUUUCAAUUCCUUCGUUUUACAAACCGAUUUCUAGUCUGGUCUGAUAUGGUUCUAUUUUUUUCUGCAAACUGGACAACUUUAAUUUUAAACACAAAAAGUUAAAAGUUUUAUUCUAGAAAAAUGGAUCAAAUGGCUGAGACGUAAAAUCUUUUUCAAAAAGUCAUUGGUUUAAAUCUUGAAAUCCACAAUUUUUUUCUUUAAAAAAUCAUACCUUGAAAUCCACUAACUUCUUUUUUUUUUUUUAAAAAAACAUUCCCUGAUAUCCUCCAAAAUCUUUUUUUUUUUUUAAAAAAACAUUCCCUGAUAUCCUCCAAAAUCUUUUUUUUUUUUUAAAAAAACAUUCCCUGAUAUCCUCCAAAAUCUUUUUUUUUUUUUAAAAAAACAUUCCCUGAUAUCCUCCAAAAUCUUUUUUUUUUUUUAAAAAAACAUUCCCUGAUAUCCUCCAAAAUCUUUUUUUUUUUUUAAAAAAACAUUCCCUGAUAUCCUCCAAAAUCUUUUUUUUUUUUUUAAAUUUCAAAAAUAAAAAGGUCAAAAAAUUACAAAUUACUGAUAAAUGGCCUAACCAACAAUUCACUAACUUUCAAUUUCAGUCUAAAUGACCUUUGUACCUUGGACAUCCUGAACUUAUCAAUUCAGUUGUAAUUACACUCUAAUUUGCUUUUAGGUUACAAUUGCUCCCUAAAAGUGAAUUAAAGCACCAUGAACUUAUCGAUUUGUUGUAAUUUCACCCUAAAAACAAAUUAAGGUUGAAAUUAUAAACUAAGACAAUAUAAAGAUGGACUCCAUAACCAAUCCAAACUUAGUGCAGUAUAUAAUAUUUGAAUUAAAAGAAAGAAUUUAUAAUUUUGCGUCUUUUGUCCUUCGACUUAUUGUCUUUUUUCCUUGUAGGAAAUUAAAUAUCGGCUGCAACGACAAUGAUAAAAAAAUCUCCAUAUUUUUCUCACCAUCCUAGAAAGUGUAACCUUGAAUUAGUAUCCAACUCAUUACUUUUGCAUCUUAAAAUUUGUUUAAUUUUAAAAUUAAAGAUGCAAUCUUGAUUUUUUUUUCGAAUUAUAUGAAUACUUGCAUUUUUUUUAUUUAUUGUUUAAAACACUUGAAUUGGUUAUAGACUCUAUUUUUUAUACGUUUUAAUUGUAAUUCCAAUCUUAAAUUUAUUUUUAGGAUGAAAUUAUAACAAAUCGAUAAGUUCAGGGUGCUCUAAUUUACUUUUAGGAUGUGAUCAACAAAUUGAUAAGUUCAUGGUACUGUAAUUCACUUUUAGGGUACAACCCUAAGCAAAUUAAGGUAUAAUUGCAACUAGAUUGAUAACUUUAGAGUGCUCAGGAUAUAAAGAUUGAUUUAGAAUGAAAUUGCAAUUACUCAAAAAGUUCAAGGUGAAAUUGUUUGUUAGGCCCAAAACAAUAGUCUAAAUUUUCUUAAAAAUCAACUUUAAUAUGGUGUAACCAAUUUCUAAAAAAUUCUUAUUUUGUAACUAAUAGUUAUUUUUUAAUUUAUUUAAUAAAAUAAUAAAAUUUUAAGUUAAUUAGCACACAAAUACUUUUAUAUUUUAUAUGAUUUAUGAAUGAUUUAAAUAUUACAAUAACAUCAUAUGUAUUUUACACAAAUAUGAUCAUUGUGUGUAUUUAUGCAAGCUACAAAAAGAGCAUACAUGUCAAAGGUUCCAUAUGCGAAUACUAUUGAUAGUUGAUGUAUGUUAUAGUGUGUACAAGGCCUGACAUUUCGCAGGCAAUUGAAUUUGUGAGCAGGUAUGUGAAUGAUCCUACUAAGGAGAAUUGACAAGUUAUAAAAUGGAUUCUAUGAUACAUUCUGAACAUCAGGGAUGUUGGACUGAUCCUUGAAUAGGAUAAAGAAGUCAAUCAAUGUGCAGUUGGUUACUGUGAUUCUGAUUAUGCUAGUGAUUUGGAUAAACGUUGGUGAACUAUUGGCUAUAUAUUUACUCUUACUAAAGCACCGAUGAGUAGAAAGUCUACUUUACAGUCAAUACAAAGGCAUAUUAUAUGGUAAUUACAAGGCUAUUAAGGAGGCAUUUUGACUUCAAGAAUUGCUUAUUGAAUUGAGAGUUAGACAAAAGCACAUAAAAGUGCAUUGUGACGAUUAGAGUGCUAUUCAUUUAAUAAAGAAUCAAAUUUAUCAAGCAAGGCCGAAGCUUAUUGAUGCUCGAUAUCCCUUUGUGCUAGAGAUUUUAGAAGAAGGUGUUAUACUGUUUGAAAAGAUCAUGACAAAUAGAAAAUCAUGCUGAUAUGAAGACAAAAGUAGUGAUCCAUUUUUCAUGAUGUUAUACACGGAUCAAAUAUAUCAUGGCAAAUUUUUUAGAAAAAAUCGACCAUCAAGUUCAAAAAUUGUUUAAACUUGUUUGAACUUGAUAAAUAACAUUGAAAAUUGAAGUUGCACUUUAUGUGCAUUUUGAAGACACUACAUCAUUGUGAGAGAAUUGAAAGAUUGUAACUAAGGAAAUUUCACCAACGUGGCGAUUUUUUGGCAUAUGUAGCUCAAUCUCACAUUGGUGGGCAUAAAAGGUGAGGCGGUAGCUUCGACUAUAAAACUAACCCCUCCCAAUUAUUGAUAUACCAUCUGCAAAAGCCAUCUGUUUUUUACAUAGACAUUUGGCUUAGCUAUCUCUUUUCUCCAUUUGUAAUAUUUCUUUUGUUAGUGAAAUAUUAUUUGGAUAGUGUCAGAGGACAUAGGCAAAUGAAUGAACCUCAUUAAAUUUGAUGAGUUUUCCUUUUUGUCCAUUUUAUAGUUUAUCUUUGUGCAUUUUAUUUUAUAAUUUUUUUAUUGGUGUGCAUAGUGAUAUAUUGUGCUAUUAAUUAUAUGCCUAGGUUAUUGAAUUUUAAGUGGGAUUGCUUGUGACCCAUCCAAUCAUUUAGAAAUUUAUUUGGUGUAACUUUUCUUUUUGCAAAAACAAGAAAUUAUUAUUAUCAUAAAAUAAGAGUACAAGAGGUGAAGUUAUCAAGUACUACCAAGAGCAUAUAAGAUUUAUUUAGAAAGAAAACAUGGUUGUUAAAAUAGUAUAUGUUUAAGGGAAGGGAGAAUAACCCAUUGGCAACUGCUAUGCUAUGGUGCCAAGCUUCCUUUACGAUGAUCGUCCAAAGUUUAGAUUUGAUCUUUGACAAACAAAAUCUAGUGCAUAAAUCCAUCUUGAUGUGGAGAAUUUACCAGUUCUCCUUUAUAUCAAGCCACUUCCAUGUAAGAUUCUUAUCAAGACCUUCCUUAAGUGUGACAUCCUACUGAAUUGAGUUGUUUCAUUUAGCAAGUCGAGUCGAGUCGGAACGAACCAGAACACGGUUCAAGCCAUAAAAAUUAAAUAAAUCAAAGACUUGGACUUAAUUGAAUGAAACAUAAAGAUGUAGACUCAAUUGCAAUAAAAGUAUAAGGAUUAGGACCUAAUUCAAAUAAAGUAUAAAGUUUAGGUAUUAAAUGGUAAAAUAUUGAAAAUUUAGGUACUAUUUGGUAAUUUUGUAACAAACUAGAAGAUAUAUUUGGAGGUUACCCGAAAAUUCCAUUCACUUUACCUUCUCCAUCUUCUCCUUUGUCUUCUUCCUUCACUUUACCUUCUCCAUCUUCUCCUUUGUCUUCUUCCUUCACUUUACCUUCUCCAUCUUCUCCUUUGUCUUCUUCCUUCACUUUACCUUCUCCAUCUUCUCCUUUGUCUUCUUCCUUCACUUUACCUUCUCCAUCUUCUCCUUUGUCUUCUUCCUUCACUUUACCUUCUCCAUCUUCUCCUAAAUCUUCGUCCAUUUUCUACCUUAAUAUUCAACCUUUCAAGCAUCAAAUUCAAUCUAUAUCUCUAUCCAAGUAAGUUGAAUUUCUUGAAUUGCAUAAUUUUGCAUAAUUUAGGGAGAUUUUGGAUGAUUAAUAAGAUGUUAUUAUGUAUAGGAGAGGUGAGAUCAAAGUGAGAAGAAAAAGGAAGCUAAGAAGAAGGUUUAAAGCUUUUUGGUUAAAGGUUUGAUAUCUCUGUUAGUUUAACAAAUUUUCUUGCAUGAGAAUAUGUGUAGUGUGAUGAUAGUGAUAAGAUAUGUUGCUGCAUGUUGAGUAAUAGGUUUGAGAAGGUUGAUUAUGCAUGGGAUGCAUUGAAUAAAUGAAUUGGAUAUUGAUUUCAUGCUGUAAUAGGUUUGUUCGAAAACUGACCAGUAAAUUCAACCAGAAUUUGAACUUGUUUACCGAUGGAAUUAGGAAGUGGUAUAGAAGAGUUAUUUUUUCCUUUAUGUUUUAGCUGUCUAUGAGCUUUGGAAUCACCUAAAUUGGACUUAUAAAUUGAAAGAUAUGCCCAAAAUAGUACAAACUNNNNNNNNNNNNNNNNNNNNNNNNNNNNNNNNNNNNNNNNNNNNNNNNNNNNNNNNNNNNNNNNNNNNNNNNNNNNNNNNNNNNNNNNNNNNNNNNNNNNNNNNNNNNNNNNNNNNNNNGAAUUUAGAAUCACCUAAAUUGGCCUUAUAAAUUGAGAGAUAUGACCAAAAUGGUACAAACUGUGCAGGCUGGAAACCAACAGCCGGGCAGACUAGAAGUUGCUACUUUAAUUCAAUAUUUGACUACUUUACCAACAUAUUUCAGAGAGGUUUUGUACCCUAAUGUGUUAGCUAACCAUAGAAUUUAGAGUCACCUAAAUUGGCCUUAUAAAUUGAGAGAUAUGACCAAAAUGGUACAAACUGUGCAAGCUGGAAACCAACAGCAGUGCAGACUGGAAGUUGCUACUUUAAUUCAAUAUUUGACUACUUUACCAACAUAUUUCACGGAGGUGAUAAAAGACAUAUUUGUACCCUAAUGUGUUAGCUAACCAUAGAAUUUAGAAUCACCUAAAUUGGCCUUAUAAAUUGAGAGUUAUGCUAGAAUUUGUGAAACAUGUAUAGGCUGCCCUGACACAUUAGAAAUGCUGUUGGAAUGCAUAUGUAGAUUCAUUCAGCCUAAGAUNNNNNNNNNNNNNNNNNNNNNNNNNNNNNNNNNNNNNNNNNNNNNNNNNNNNNNNNNNNNNNNNNNNNNNNNNNNNNNNNNNNNNNNNNNNNNNNNNNNNNNNNNNNNNNNNNNNNNNNNNNNNNNNNNNNNNNNNNNNNNNNNNNNNNNNNNNNNNNNNNNNNNNNNNNNNNNNNNNNNNNNNNGAUAUUACUUGUAGUUGUCUAUGAAAUCCUUUUAAAGCAUGAAACAAGUUAGCGACGUAUAGAAUGAGACAGCAUACAGGUAAACAGUAUGGUUUAUGCAUUUUAAGAACAAUACAGAUAAUACGCUCCACUGAGGUUAGGUAGAAACCACGUAGAUAAGGCUAUGUCGCGACAUAGGAUAGUAGAUCUGCGUCCCAUGCAGUUUGGUACUCCGGCUAUUGGCCAUUGAGUGGAUAUGAUUUAUAUACGGGUUAUAGCAACCCAGCCAUACAGUAUUCAUCCAGUUUCAUACAGUACUUCUUAUCACCUUGGUUUCACUGUAACUUUAUGGAGCCAUACAGUUAUAAAAUUGUGUUAUUUAUAAAUUAUACGAUGUUUAAUAAAAAUUUCAUAAUUCAUACAGUAUAAUGAACACCAGGUAAGACCAUGAAAGUAUAAUGAUAUGUGUGCUUACAUGCUUAAUUAUUUAAUUCUUAUUAAGUUGAGAUAUCCACUGAGCUUCAUUUGCUCAGUGAGUUACCUGUUUUAACUCGCAGGUUUUGGGUCUGGACCGUAGAGAGUCAUCUUUACAACUGCUGCAGUUCAUCUUUUGAAGACCCAGUCUUCAGGGUAACUACUCAUUUUGAUAUUUUGGUUCUGUGGCAUGUACAUGGCACAUAGUUGGGCCCAUUUCAUUUUGAAAAAUAGUGUAAUGUCUUGUAUAUAUUACAUCAAUGUCUGUAUAUAAAUGAUGUAUAAAGCAACAACAUGACAUAAUAUUUAGCAUACAGGAUGAUAUCAGCAUGACAUGACAUAGGUUCAACCAGAUUGUAGCGUCUCGGCUCGGUUCAUUCGGGUUCACGGGUGGACCGGGAAGGGAUGUUAAUUAAGUGAUUGCCCCAAACUGAGAAGAUGAGGAGACCUUAAGUAGAAACCAAAAGUAAGAAAUAAAUCCGUGGAGUUUGUCUCGAGAAACAAGGCAAAUAUAUAUAAGGGAUUGGGCCCAUAAAGGCAACAAAGAAGAGAAAAAAAAAAAAGCUAACAAAAAAGGAAGAGACGAAAAGAGGGUCACCAUCGGCUAAAUAGCUAUUGUUGGUGACCAUCCAAACGAGAAAAACAAAUGAGCUUUGGUUUUUUAGAGGGAAGGAGGAGAGUUUUUUUUUUUCUUUUUUUUUAAUUUAAGGAUUCAACUUUGGUGUAAUUUUUUAGUAUAAUUGUUCACGUGCUAUACACAUAUUGGUGAAAAAUACUAUUCACCUGAAUCUAAAUAGCAUCCUAAUGUAUAUAUCUCAAUAAGCCAUUAUAUUUUAUAACUUAAAAAUUAAGUUAGGGUAUCUAAUAGAUUAAAAGUAAUAACUUUUUACUUAUUACUUGCCCUUCAACAAUAGGAAAAAACAAAACCCUCUUUUUCUCUAGUAAAACGAAAAAAUAAUCUCAAAUCAUGUUCUUCAAUCAAGAAUUAAGAAGAUAAUACCAACAAUGAAGAAUUUGUAUGUCUCCUAUUCCCUUUUAAUCUAUUUUAUUAUUCUUAUUUUUGUUUCUACAAGAGAUAUAUAUGAUUCUAAAUUUGUUUAGUUAUGAAAUUUAAGUUUAAAAAUAGAAUUUGAAUACCAAAACCUUAUUUGAGUUCUUAUGUUUCAUUAGGUGAAUCUAGAAUUGAAUGUCACCUUGGUUUUUUUAAUUAAAAACUGCAAAUUGAAAAGCUUUGUCAAUUUCUUUUUUUUUUUCUUUUUGUUUCAUCACAUAUAUACGAUUCUAUAUUUAUUUAGUUAUAAAAUUUAAGUUAAAAAUAGAAUUUGAGUACCAAAACCUUAUUUGAGUUAUUGUGUCUAAUUAGGUGAAUCUAGAAUUGAACAAUAAACUUUAUUUUAUUACCCUUAAUAGGGAUAAUUGCAAUUUUAGUGUAUGAACUUUUAAAAAAUUUCCAUUUUGGUGUAUGAAUGGAAAAAGUUUACAAUUUGGUGAAUCAACUCCUACAAUUUUAACGAUUAAGUGAAUUUUGCAUAAGUGGACAAUCAGAAAUCCUUGUAGAACGAUUAGACCCCACAUUAUCAAUUAUGUGUCGUUGACUGCGAGCUAAUUAAGAUGCCAUAUGAAUUGCCACCUAGAUUAGAUGCACUGUAAGCAAGAAAUGAGUCAUUUACCCUUUCUCUAUCUCACCCUCCUCUUCCUCUCUCUCUCUCUCUCUCUCUCUCUCUCUCUCUCAAACAAUCAUCAAAAGGAAAACCUUAGAAAUGGAUAUGGAAAAAAUCCUAAGUUAUUACAUAAGAUUACAGUGCAAAAGUCUAGGGAUUUUAUGAAUCAAAAUCAGCAUAUUGAGAAGGUAAUUGAAAAACAAUAUUGUCAACAAAUUGAAAAUAAUCGCCUAAGAUUAAAAGUCUCACGUGAUGCUGUUAGAUGUUGACAUUCCAAGCAUGUGCUCUAAGAGGUCAUAAAGAAAGCUCCAAUUCAAAAAAUAGGGGGUAUUUCAUUGAACUUGUUAAACUUUUGAGUUUUUAUAAUGACAAAAUGGAAUCGGUAGUUUCAGAAAAAUGCUCCUCAAAAUGCAUCUUACAUUUCGCCCAAAGUUGAAAAACAAAUUUUACAUGUCAUAUCUAAUGAGAUUCGACAUGCAAUCCGUGAUGAGAUUAAUAAUGAGAAGUUUUGCAUUAUUAUUGAUGAGGCUCGUGAUGAAUUAAAAAAGGAGCAGAUGGUCAUUAUGUUGAGAUUUGUUGAUAAAGAUGGCUAUGUACAAGAGCAUUUUUUUGAACUAGUUCAUGUCCUUGAUACUGGUGCUUUAACUUGAUACUAUUACAAGAAAUUUUAGAUGUCCUUGCUAGGCACAACUUGAAUAUAAAAAAUAUUCGGGGUCAGGAUUAUGAUGGAGCUAGUAAUAUACGUGGGGAGUGGUCUGGACUAUAAGCUUUAUUUUUGAGUGAAUGUCUAUAUAACUAUUACAUACAUUGUUUUGUUCAUCGAUUCCAAUUAGCAUUGGUUGCAGCAUCUAGAAUGGUAAUUUCAAUUCUUCAAUUUUUUUCUAAAUUGACUCUCAUCACCAAUGUUGUUACUUCCUCUUUUAAAAGGCAUGAUCAAUUGCAACCUGCCCAAAUUGCUGAACUAGAGAAAUUGAUUACUCAUGAUGAACUUGAAACUAGUAAAGAAUUAAAUCAAAUUGGUACUAUAGAAUGGGCUGAUGAUACUUGAUGGAGUUCUCACUUAAGCUCUUUAGAAGCUUAAUGAAUAUGUUUGAAGCAACUUGUUUAGUUUUGAAAACUAUAAUUGCUGAAGGGACUACUUAUAGCUAAAGGGGAGAUGCUGAUUACGCUUUUAAUACUAUCAAUUCUUUUGAAUUUAUGUUUAUUUUACAUCUUAUGAAAGAGAUACUUGAGAUCGCACAUGACCUUUGUCAAGCCUUAUAAUGCAAGAUAUUCUGAGUGCAAUGUGUUUAAUAUCAACAACAAAAAUGUCGAUUCAGAAAAUGAGAGAAAGUGGAUGAGAUUCACUGUUUAAAAGUGUCUAAUUUUUCUGUGAGAAACAUGAAGUUGAUAUUGUUGGCUCAAGGGUCAAUUUUUAAUCUCAGAUCUUGAUGAUUAAUACAAAACGAAUAAAUUUAAAAUUAUGUUAUUUGUGCUAAUUUUAUUUUUAUGCAGAAUUUUUUUGGAGAGAUAAUCAUACAAGGCAAAUCCUACUUUGAGUGUGAAGAAUUCGAAGACCUAGUAGCUAGGUAUUUAGGAAUACUUUGUAGGAUAGAGAGAAAUUCCAUAUAUGAGCACAAAAAUCCUUUUAUCUCUCAAAAAUAUUUUUCGGAAAAUUAGUUUUCUUUAAAAUAAUCUAUUUUCGAAAAUAUUCCUUCAAAUCGAAAAGAUUUAUUUUCCUAAAACUAAAGAAAUUUCUUCUCUAAUGUUUUUGGUAAUAAAAUCAUUCACCUUUUCGGAAAUAUAUUUUGCAAGAUCUAGAGCAUUUUAAAGUUAUUUUCUUACCAUAAAAAUGAAGGAAAAUCUCUUUCGGUUUUGGUAAGUGCAUCUUUCCGCAAAUAAUUUUUUCUCCACAAAUAAAUGCUGUCGAACAACUUUUCUAAAGGAAAGUGAAAAUCGGAUUUUAUUCUAUUACCAAAAAGGAUAAAAUAAUUUUUGGUAACAAAGAUUUUCAGAUCUUCUAAACAAGGAAAGAAGAUAUUCUGAUCUCUUUCCAAAAAGCGACAGCUCCUUCGUUUUCUAUAUAAAGGAACGUUCACACCUUAAUCAUUUGGUGAAGUAAGAGUAUUUGUUUUAAGAGCACUCUCUCUUGAUCAAAUCUUUAUCUCUCAAAACUUACUCUCUACCCCCAUUUUCUUUUCAUCUCUACUCUUAACGUUUUCAAUAUUUAAAGUGAAAGUUUUUUUACAAUUUCUUUUUGAAAAACAAUUCUGUGUUCUAAUCGAUCUUCUAAUCUAAUAAGAUUAUUUUUUCUGUGCUUAUAUAGGCGUUUCCUUCUGUCUAUUUAGAAUCUGUAUUCUAUAGUAGAUAGGCUCUUUAUUUGUGAAACUUUUGAGUGUAAUAGCUUAGGUUAGAAGCUAUUGAGAUAGAGGUUAUCAAGCGACCUUCUCCAUGUGUGGGAUAGUAAUGUCUUGAAUCGAGUUUUCUGUACUCUACCAAAAACAGAAAGGGUUGAGGUUAACUAGAACCUUUGGAAAAUCUAGUGGGACAAAAAGGGUAGAUCUAGGUUGUUGAUCUAUUUGCCUUGUACUGUUGGUUUGUCUCUUACCCUUUAAAAGAGAUAACUUAGUGGAGGAUCUCAAGAUGAGUCUUGGGGAGUGGAUGUAGGCGAGUUAGUGCCGAACCACUAUAACUCUCGGUGUUGAUCUCUUUAUUUCUGAAGUUUGGUUGAUACUGUCUCNNNNNNNNNNNNNNNNNNNNNNNNNNNNNNNNNNNNNNNNNNNNNNNNNNNNNNNNNNNNNNNNNNNNNNNNNNNNNNNNNNNNNNNNNNNNNNNNNNNNNNNNNNNNNNNNNNNNNNNNNNNNNNNNNNNNNNNNNNNNNNNNNNNNNNNNNNNNNNNNNNNNNNNNNNNNNNNNNNNNNNNNNNNNNNNNNNNNNNNNUGGUUUUGCAAACUUUAUGAGGAAGUUCUAAGUUCAAUAACUUUCCUUCAUAAAGAAGCUCUGAUAUUGUACAAGUCAGUGUGAAGCUGUUCUAAUCAAUAGCUGCACUUUGCACAGACUUUCUAUAUCUGAAAUUAGAACAUUGUGAGGAGAUUCUAAUCCAUAUUCUACUCUCACAAAGUUCUGUGUGUUUUUCCGCUGCACUUAGAAUUCUAAUUCUUGUUUAGAAUUUCUAAAAUUUAUUUCAGUUUUUAGAAAACCCAAUUCACCCCCCCUAUUGGGUUGUGCCAUACACAUUCGGGACCCACAGAUAUCCCUAAUAUGAAUGCUCAUUAUAAUUCUAGUCGAGCUAGAACCCGCAAUCAAAAAGACCCAAUUACAUUUUAGCAUUAUUUUCGAGUUGAUACAUUCAUUGCUAUCAGUGACUUGUUAGAAAUUUUAAUGGGGGCUACUAUUAAUAGUGGGCUAUUUUAGUUUGUGAAAACGGACUGGAUAAAUACAGUUUAAGAAUAUGUAUGUGGAGCCCAAUUUGUGUUUAUGUGAUCACUUAUGUAAUGGGCUUGUACACCUCUAGUGGGCCAGUAUGGUAAGGCGGUUAAAAGUGUAGGCCUAAUCCUAUAAGGAUUUGUGAUGGGAAGGUUCAUAAGAUUUUAUAUAAAUAGGCUAGGUCCCUUCUCAUUCCUUAACCCUACUAUUGACUAGUCUCAUUGAAAAGCCUCCUUGUGAAUAAGAAAACGGAGAGGAAGAUCUAGUCCCUCUUUUACAAAUUCUGAUUUAGUGUUUGAGCGUCUUGAUUGCAGAUAAUCUUAAAAGAAGAACCGUGAACUCUAUUUUAAAUCACAAAUCAGGUACGCAAAUUGCUUCGGCUUAAUAUUUAUUUGGUGUUCUAAAUUUAUAUACUAGAUUCAUUAAUUUUCUUACAUGACUCACAAUUGCAAAAAUUGAAUGUUAGAUUUAAGGCAGAUUUGAUGGAGUUGUUCAUUCUUAGCUCCUCUUUAGAUCUAAGGGAUGGUUUCAAGUCAUUUAAAAUUGAUGAUGUCUACAGCCUUGCGAAUAAGUUUUAUUUUGAAGAUUUUUUAGAACAAGGAAGAUUACAUUUAAGAUAUCAAUUGGAACUUUUUGUACUUGAUGUUCUACGUUAUCCUAAGAUGCAAUCGCUAUCAACUAUCUCUAAAUUGUGACAAUAUUUAGCUAAAUCAAAGAAGGCAACUAUUUAUCCUCUUAUUGAUAGGUUGGUUAGACUUGUUUUGACUCUUCUAGCCUCAACAACAACUACUGACCAUGGUUUCUCGGCUAUGAGUCUUAUAAAGAAUAAGCUUCGUAAUAAGAUGGCAUAUGAUUUUCUUGCAAAUUCCUUGAUUAUAUAUAUUGAGAUAGAUAUAGUUGAUACUUUGAGUAUCAAUUUUAUAAUUGAUGAGUUUUACACCACGAAAGAGCGACAGGUGUAGCUCAAGACGCGAGAAGACAUCAAGUAUAAAUAUACAAGAUAAAUUGUAAUCUUAGAUGUCUAUUUGAAUUUUCUUCUAUUUUCUUUUAUUAUUCGUUUCGCUAUGUCAUUUUUUUUCUUAUUAUUCUUAUCAGAUUUUUUUCAUUUAACAUGCCAUACUUAAUAUAGUAGGAUAAGAAUUAAAGGAAUCCAUUUGAUUGAUUGUUGUUUUGAAACCCCAUGCUAAGUUUUUUCUGGCUUAAUUAUCAAUGAAAAAAAAAAAUAUUAUCUUCACCCCCAAUCUAAAUUUCUGGCUCGCGCUGUUAAAAAUAGUCAGUUUCUGCAACAUUUGUUAGACUGGGGACCAAAAAUUAGUCCAAGGGGUAAAAAACUUAUUGCCUCGUAGCCAUAGGUUGAUUACGAAUACUGAAAAUCCGUCCAAUCAUGCACUGCGCCACCUUCACAAGUGUAAAGAUUGUGGCCUCAAAAUAGAGUGAUCCCACAAAUAUCUACCUGCCAUUUCCGCAAUUAUUGCUUGGAUAACUCUAAAUAUUCAAUUUGGCUCCUUCUCCUGCAAAAGUUAAUACGUGUCCAUAUCUGAAUCUACUCAUACGUGGGGGCAAACCAAUUAAUAAAAUGAUCAAAUUACUUUAAAUUUAGCCUUGUUUGCUGAUAAAUUUAUUAAUUUUUAAAAUUAUAUUAAAUAAGUGUAUUUUUUUUUUUAGAAAAUAAGUGUAUUUUUUUUAAUUCUUAAUCUACAAUUGUAGUUUUUACAUCUCAACUCAUUCAUCUCACGUGCAUAUAUUCAUUGGAGAUAAGUGUAAUUAUAGUAUAUUAUAUUUGACUUAUCUAAAUAUAAUUCUAAAAUAUACAUCUAGACAUAACAUAAUGAUAAAUGCAUUUACAAUCUAAUAGCUGUUCAAGUUCGAAUCUCCUUCUCCAAUACUCAAUAUAUAUAUAUAUAUAUAUAAAUGAAAUAUUUACUUGAAUUAUUGAUUACCGUUUGUAUCCGCUUAAGUAUAUUGAAUUUUAAACAAAUUACUCCUACUAGCUUUUAUUUUUUUUAUUUUUUAAAGGCAGACUAAUUUUUAAUUAGUUAGUUUAAUCCUAUCGUCUUAUAUAAAUAAAUUUUUAUAAUAGUACAUGCCAUAUAAAAGAUAAUAAUUAUUAAACUCAUUUUUAUUCAAAAUCGAAAUUACAAUAAUUAAAUCAUAAUAAAAAAUUUUCAAUUAUAUAAUAGUAAUGAUAAUAGUCAAAAAUCAUUGAGAGCUUAUAGGAUAUUAUUAACAGAAAUAUAUUUUACUUAAAUUUUAAUUUAAAAAAAUAAACUUUUUUUUUUGUCAUCGCUGAAAUAUUUGUUAAGUUUUUUCCUUUUUAUUAUUAUUAUUAUUAUUAUUAUUAUUCUCUAAUAAAAGUAAUUUGAUUACUGACAAAAAACAAAUUUAUAGGCAUAAAGAGUAUAUGAUUUCCAUUAAUUAUUUUUGAAAGACUUUUUAAUUUUAAUUGAUUCCUUGAUUUUUUUCUUAAUGCAUUCCAACUAAAAAAGGACAUAGGAUUUAUUAAAUGCAUAAAUGGUAUUGUCAAUAUGUCUGGUGAGGUCCAGCAUUCUGGUCACCAAAAUAUCAAUGUCUGUCUUCCCUCACUGGCUUUACUUUAUAUAUUAGUUUUUAUUUUACCUCUCAGCCUGGAUAAAAAAAUUUUGUGGCACUCUGAAUUAUAAAAUUGAUUUUAUCUUAAAUUCAAUUUUUUUUAAUAAUUUCAUACUUCUCUAUACUACAAACAGUAAAUUUUAAAGUUUUUUGGCUUUCAUAUAUAAAAUAUUAACUCGAUACGUGGUUAAUAACUUUUGGAAUAAUAAUUUUAUAUUUUUUUUACUUUUUAAUAGGUGUUUAAUUGAUCUAAUUUUAUAAGUUGAAGUAUUCAACUGAUCAAAUAAGUAUUUAACAAGAAUAAUUUUAUAAGUUAAAGUGUUUAACUGGUCAAAACAAAAGUUGAGGGUGUCACAAUUUUUAUAAAAAGUAUAAAAAUAAAUUUAUGUAUUCAACUGUUUUUAUUUGUUAAAAAAUUCUAAAAUUUUUGUUUUUUAUUUUUGCCCAAAAUUUAAGUAAAUCAAUUUUAUAAGAUGAAAUUUGAAUCUUAAAUUGAGGAAAGGGUGAUUUUUUUUAAUCAAAUUAAAUAUUCUACAUAAAUUUUUGAUUCAUUAGAAGUUCAACCAAGCGAAAAACACGACAUAAUAAAUAUAGUUUUCUCUUGAUGCAUCAAAUUAAUUAAAACUUUUAUAGCCGACCGACCGGACUCCAGACUUCAAAAUUUCUUACUCCUGAGACGACGGAGGGAGAAGGGCUAGGUGGCCACCCUGGCUUUGAUAAAUGUUUUUAGUACAUCGUCUUUGCGCAAAACUCUUUGCUAUCUUAGUUGCCCUGAUGCUUUCACUCAAGUCAUUGGACUUGAGUUUGACCCUCAAUUUAAAUAAGAUUUUAUUUUAUAGUUAUAUUUUUAGUUUGUUUUUAUAAAUCGUAACAAAAUAACCGUAUUCCUCUAUAUUUGUAUUUUUUAUUUUGGGAUAGUUCAUUUAUAAAAGCUAUCCACGAAAAAGUAAAUAUUUGAUUUGAAAACUAAUGCUCCGUUUGUUUUUGUAAAAUAACUUAUAUGAAAAUAACUUGUUGAAAAAUAUUUUCUAUGAAAAAUAUUUUUCAAAUGACUUAUUUUCCGUUGUUUGGUUAUAAUUUUAAAAAUUAGUUACAAAUAUUAAAAUUUUUCUUAUAAGACCAUAAAAAAUAUUAAUAAUAAUAUUUAAAAAUUUUAUUGUUAAAUAUGAGAAAAAUGUAAAAAAUAUAUAUAUAUAAAUUAUGAAAGCCGCUGGUAGCCGGUGGCUGGUGGUGGUGCCUGAUGGUGGUAGCUGGUAGUGGUGGUCGGUGGUAAAUGAUGACUGAUUGGACUUACUACGAUGAUUAAUAAAUUAAAAAAAAUAUGAAUUUAUAAGAUUUAUCAAUGUCUGAAAAAUAUUUUAUUCUCUCAAAAAUAAUAAGUUAUUUUUCUUAAAAAAUGACUUUAUUUUCCUUUGACCAGGAAAAUAUUUUCUGUUGUCAUUAAAUAUUUUUAUCAUUAAUUUUAAAUUAAAGAGAACAACCAACAAGUAUUUUUGGUUGUCAUUAAAUAUUUUUAUCAUUAAUUUUAAUUUUAAACUUUAUUUAAUUUUAGUUUAGGUUUGAUUUCAUUCUAUGAAUGUACAAAACUUCAUAUAAAUAUUGAAAUAUACAAUAGCGUUAUAAAUUUAUAAUUCAAUUCAAUUAUUUAUUGUUGGUCAUGUAGAUAAAACUUAACAACUUGAAAAAAUUUUAGAAUUUUAAAUUCAUUGAGUAAACACAUGAUAUUUAAUUUAUUCAUUUAUUCAGUGAGAUGGAUUUAAUAUUAUAGCUCAUAAUUCUUUUUAAUAUUUUAAAAUUAAUAUAAAAUUAAAUUGAUCAAAUUUUAAAUUUAUUCAAAGUUGAUUUUUUUUUUACUAUAAAUGAUAGUUUAUGAUGUAUUUUCAUAAUUUUAUUUGCUUUAGUAAAUAUUUUAAAAAUAGCAUUUUUAAAUUUUUUUUAAAAAAAGAAACAGUUCUUGUAAUAAUAAUUUAAAUAAAAUUAUCAAAUAAAUUCUAAUAUAUAAUUAACAUUAAUAUUUUUAAAAACUAUGUAAGUUAUAACUUCAUGUAAUUUUAUGAAAAACUAUAUAUUUUCCAUAAUAAUACAUCAAUAUCAAAUUAUAUAUAUGUUUUCAAUAUUAAACCAUUUAUUUCGAAGUAAAAUGAUGAAUACACGAAAGGCAAUAAAAAAAACAAGACAUGAACUAACUCGACCUCUUGCUCAAAAAAAUACUUUAAUUAACUUAAAAAUUACAAUAAUGUAUUUCAAAUUUUAAACACUAAUAGUUAUUUUUAUUGUAAUUUUUAGUAUGAAAAAUUUAGGAAAUCAUUGUUUCUUUUCUAUUGAAAGUUAAUAUUUAUAUCAAAUAUCUUUAUUAUUUUGUGGCUAAAAACACUAUUUUUAUUAAAAAUAUUUUUGACCAUGUGUAAUGUAUAUUUGCUUGUAUGAAAUGAUAAAAUACAUUUUUGUCCCCCAAGAAAAAAUCAUGGCUAGUUGGCAAUAUCCUAAACAAGUUGAAAGUAAAAAUUAAGUACUAUUCCAUCUAUUUAACCUAAAUACGAAUGCAUUGCAAAGAAGAGCUUUCACCAAAUAUAUUCAUACCUCAUUUGAUUUAUGAAUAUGGCUUGAGUUGAUUUUAGAUUAAUUAAUAUUAUUUUGAUGGGCAAAUUAAAUUUACUUCAACAAAUUAAUUCAAUAAUUUUUUUUUAAAAAAAUAAUAAUGCAAUAUUAAUUAACAUGGCUAAUAAACAUGCACACACAACGCACGAAAUUGGAGAAUACAAAAGUGCAACAUAGUAUAGGAUAAGCUUGCAUAUUGAUUUCUAGUCUCAUUUCCAAUUUGGUUUUUUUUUUUUUUUUUAUUAUAGUUGUGUGUGGUAACAAUUUUUUAAAUAUUUUUUUAAUAAAUAUUAUUUUUUAUAAUAUGAAGUAACAUAGCAUUUGAAAUAUUUUUUAAAAAUUAAGAUAACCCGUUGGCCGGCCCUCCCCUAGAUUUUAUAGCAUUUCUUAACAUGCCUUGAUCUCGUUAUUUUGGUCACGUGACUCCUAUUGCUCAAGUUUGAGGUACUGGGAUCAAAAUCGUGCUGGCUGAAGUUCUGUUUAUUUUUUUUUAUUUAGUUAUUUACUUAGUUCUUAUUUACAAAAAAAAAAAAAGUUUUAGUUAAUUUUUAUAUAUAUUCAAUUAAUAUAUAUAUAUAUAUAAAUUUCGAACUCGGACUCCGUUCCUGCCUAUAAGCACAUAAAAUUUCAUAAUUUUAAUAAAUUAUUUUUUGUUUCCAUUAAAUGAUUUAUAUUAUUAAUUUUCAUUUUAGGUUAUUUAAUUUUAUAUAUUUUUUUAAAUUUUAGUUUUGAAUUUGAUUUCAUUCUAUGAAUAUAUAAAAUUUACAUAAAUAUUAAAAUAUAUAAUAGUGUUAUAAAUUUUUAUUUCAAUUGUUUAUUAUUUGUUAUUUAAUUAAAAUUUAAAAAUUUGAAAAAAACUUUAGAAAUUUAAAUUUGUUGAAUAAACACAUAUGAUAUUUAAUUUAUUCAAAAAAAUAAAUUUAAUAUUAUAAUUCAUGAUUCUAUUUUAAUAGUUUUUAGAAAAAAAAAAUAUAAAAUUAAAUUGAUUAAAUUUUAAAAUCACAAUAACGUAUUUAAAAUUUUAAAUACUAAUAUUUAUUUUCACUGUAAUUUUUAAUGUGUAAAUUUUAGGAAAUUAUUUCUUUCCUAUUGAAAGUCAUUAUAUAUAUUUAAAAAAUUUUUAUUUAUACUAUUUUCAUUAAAAAUAUUUUGAUCACAUGUAUAUUUGUCCAUGUAAUUACAUUAUUUUUAGGCAUUUUUUUAUUCAGGUUUAUUUUUUAUUCACCUAUCAAGACAAAUAUAUUUUCGCCUCCCUAUGAAAAAAUAUUGCCUUCGUCAUUGCUAACCCCUAUUUAACUUUUAAUAUUUUAUGAAAAACUAUUUAAAUAGCUACUAAGACUUGAACAACUACUGACACUUAAACGCUAAUAAAAUAACUAAUUUCCUGAACAUACUCUACCUUGAUGUUUUUUAAUUCUAGCAUCUAGGCAUAAUCACGGUUCCAGAACCGCUGGUUUCGAUUUUUAAACCGCUGGUUUCAGUUUCAGAAAAGAUGAAACCAAAACUAAACUACUUUUAGACGGUUUUAAAGACGAUUUUAAGACCACCAGUUCCGGUUCAGUUUCGGUUUGAAACCGAAUUUGGAUAACUUUUUUUAACCUUUUUAAUUCUUUUUAGCUAAAUAAGAAAAUUAAUAACAAAUAACAAUAUUAAAUUAAAAAAAGACUAAAAUAGUAAAUUAAUAGUUUUAAAAUUUAUUAAAAAAUUAUAACUACACAAAACAUCAAUUUAAAAUUCUUUACUAGUAUUUAAUUUCUAUAAAUUUAAAUUGAGAGACAUGUUAAAAAAUUGACUUGUACUUAAUUUAUAUUAGGAGAAAAUAAAUGAUAGGAGAAAUUCAAUGAAGUUUAGAGAAAAAAAAUUGAUAUUGUGAAAAAAAAGCAAGAUUAUUAAGGUAUUUAUAGUUAACAUAUAAAUUUUUAUUCAUAAAAAUACCCUUCAAAUUUUCCGUUUUUUUACCGUUAUAAAGGAUAAAAAUCUCCUUUAAUUUAAUUUAACAAUGAAUAAAAAAAUAUCAUAAUAUGAAUUUUUUAUUUCAGAAUAUAUCUUUCAAAUUGCCCUUUUUUUAUCGUUAUAAUGGAGAAAAAUAUCUUUUUAUUUUAUUUAAAAGUCAAAAAUACAUCUUAAAUAAAUAUUGUUUAAUUUAUAUGUAAAAAAUAUAUAUUAUAAAGGGUAAAAGAUUUAAAUUAAAAAUAUUUAAAUGAGGAGCGAUUUUUUUCUCUUUUUCAAGUUAAAAUUUAUGGGUUAUAUUUAUAUUAAUAAAUUUUAAGAUGAUAGUAAAGUUAUUGCAUUUAAUGAUGAAAAUUAAAAUUAAUUUAACAAUUAAAAAUCAAGUGUGAAGUGUGAUAUUUUCUAUUUUUUAAAAUGGUUUUAAAUCAGAACCACCGGUUUUAAUUUAACAUAUAAGGAACUGCAACCAAAUCUUAAACCGCCAGUUUUGGUUACGGUUUGAAACCUUGAAUCAUUGACCACGGUUUUGUUUCGAUUUCAGUUCGGUUCCAGUUCAAAAUCGAACCGUGGUCAUGCCAGGAUCAACUCUAAACUGUCAACUAAUUUUAAUUUCAAAAUCCCAAGAAAAGAACCAUAAUUUAAAUAGACCAUCUAUCCCAACUUAGUUCAAUUCAAAAUUAAACUUUUUCAAUCUGGACUUGUCUAGUCAGAUUUUGAUCCAAACAAAACAAAUGGCAACCUCUACAAUAGGAGAAUAAUAAGUUUUUAUGUUGUAAAGAAAUAAUGACAUGAAGAAAUCUUAAUUUUAGGCAUCACUUGUGCAAUGACAUUUGAGGCAUCUAUUGCCCAGCCAUGUGAAAAAGACCAAUACAAGAAUAAAAUGUUUGGUGAAAUGAGAGAAUUCCAUUUCUGUUUUAUUAGUUGUUAGGUAACCAAAUAAUAAUUUAGAACAUCAAAUGAGUGGCACUUAGCCUUACACGCAUCCCAUUGUUGUUUGUCCAAUCAUAUUGUUCACAUGGUUCUUCACAAACUUUCUAUCUCUAACAAUGAGAUUGUACAAGUUCAAAUACGUUGUUUUUUCCCCUACUCAGAGUAGAAGUGUGUGAUAUAUCAUUUUCAUCCAUAAUGUGUUGUUAGUUUGCUAUAAAGUAAUUAGCUAGGGACCACGUGUAGUCUGGUUGAUCUUCUCACUUUUUAUGAGAAUAUGAGAAAUAAAUAAUCUCGAGUUUGGAUUUUAAUGAUAACUCACUAAUGAAGGAUGACUAUUCCUUGCCUGAUAAUAUUAUUUUAGUCUAUUAAAACUUUCCAUAAAUAAAAAGGUUAGGAUAUAAAAUUUAUCUAAUGUAAUUAUUGACUGUUUUUCUACAACAAUUUAGUUAGGUAGUAGAAGAAAAGAAACAAUAUGUUAACCAAUAACUGAAUAAGAAAUUUGUCAUUAAAAUAUAACCUAAUUUUGUGACUUUUCUUUUUGAGGAAAAAUUUUGUGACCCUUUUUUUUUUUGUUAAAAGUAAGUAAACUAGGAAUUUUAUUAAUUGGGAGAAAACUGUAUAUAGAGGUGGAUAUACAUCAAUAUGUUUUUAUAUUUUUAUAUUUUUAUAUAUGAAAUCUAAUAAUAAAUCACUUAUACAAACAAAAUAAAAACACCAUCUUGAUUUGAAAGAGCAUAAAAUAUUUGUUAUAGGCGAUCGCUUGCUUUACUUGUUGGCUAUUCAUUGUCACUAUUCGAUUCCAUAAUUUUUCAGAAAAAUAAUGUCAUACUAUUUUAGCGAGACAAAGUUGGUAGCUGUUCAUAGAUAUUACUUUUCUUUACUAUUCAUAUCUUUUGAAAAUCAUGUAUUUAGGUUUUAGAUUGAUCACGACACAAACCAAAUCAUUUCAUAUCUCAACAAAAGGAAAGCAAGCUACCCAUCUUCAUCAUUGGAUCAUAUCUCCGACAAACAAAUAAGUUUUAUUAAAAAAAAAUAAGUUUUAUAAGUUAAAAAAAGAAAUAGUUUAAUAUUUAUUAUGUUGAUAAUUUAAAAGAAUUAUAUAUUUUAUUUCAUAAUUUCAAUUCGUCCAAUUGAAUGCAUAAAUUAUGUAGUUUUCGAAAAAUAAAGCCUAAGUUAAAGUAAAUUUGUUAGGUUACCUAAUGACCUACAUAACAGUAGAGAUGCACAUUUGGUUUGACCGAACCGAAUUGAUUAAGUUCGGUGUGACCGAAUAGAUUUUAUGCUUACCAAAAUUAGACCGAAUACUAUGAAAAUCAGUCAGCAUUGAACCAAACUAGAUUGGUUUGGAUUUGAUUCAAUUAAUUUGAAUCGAAUCAUCUCUUUUGGACUUAAAAAUAAAUUCGAUUAGCUAUGCAAAUGACCGAACCAAAAAAUGAAAUUCAUUCGGUUAUUAAUAUUCAAAUCGAACAAUAACUUGAUAUCUUAAAAUCUAACCAAACCAAAUUGAAAUUAGUCUAUUCGGUUCGGUUAUUCGGCCCGGACCGAGUACUACUUACCCUUACAUAACAAGGCUAGCAAUUCCCUUGACAUACCAAAUUAAUGAAAACUGUUAUAAUUGAGAAAAAUCAAAUUUGAGACUUCUCACUCUUUACAUUAGUAAAAAAAAACCAAUAAGACUACGCCUAAUUGACAAGUAACAAUUUCUUUGUAAAGAUAUAAACAACAAAAUAACAUAUUUAUUCAUUAAUAACAUUUUAUAUAGGGAAAAUUUUCUAUUAAAUUAAAGAAAACAUUUUUUUGUUAGAAUAUUAAACAUAUUUUUUCCCAAAAAUAUUCAUUUAAUUUAUACUGGUAUGGUAUUAAAAUAAACAUUAAAUAUAUAGGGACUCAAAAAAUAUGAAAUGUGAAAAAAAUAACAUUAUAUAUAUAUAUAUAUAUAUAUAUAUAUAUAUAUAUAUUUCUAUUUAGGAACACAUGAUUUUAUUCCUAAGAUCAAGCUAUAUACACGUUCUUUCUUAUUUUACAUUCUGUUAACAUAACAAUCGUUUGUUAUAAAUGUAGUCAACCCGUACCCAUUCAAUGCUGUUGUGAAAAUAUCACUUAAUCGUUCUCCAAUCUCGACAUGUCCAAUAGAUUAAUUGGGGACUCAAAUAUCAUCGUACCAUCUUAGUAUUCAAUAAUUCAAAUUUCUCUUAUAUCCCUCUCAACCAUUAAAAUACAAAGUGUCUUUGUUCCCAAAUCUCUAUCUCUUUCUCUCACACAUAACACUCUCUCAAAACCCCAAACCAGAGCAAUAAUGUCUCGCCACAGACGGCAAGCAUCUCAAGUUCUUCCGCCGGAGUUACUGACCGGCGAUGAGUCUUUAGGAGACUUACUAGGGCAAGCAACGGCAAGAGUUCAAGGCAUUACUGCUAUAAAUGAGAAAUCCACAAAUCCUUCCAUAACUCAGCACCAUCAAGAGCAAUCCACAACUGCUACUGCUACUGGUACAGCCUCUCAUUUUCCGGCCAAGAAGCCUCCUCCAGCCGGAAAACCUGCAUGAUUCACGGAGGAAGUUGCAGGUUCAGUUCAGUCCAAGAAAUCUGGAGUAGUCUUAAUAAUUUCUGCAUCUCUGUCUCCUCUUAUCUUUGGUUGUAAUCUUGCAUCUUUCUUUUCUUUUUCUUUUUUUCCUUCUGCUUUAAUUUUGAAGAAAAAGAACUUUUCUCACUCCAGCUUGUUAUUAUUUAUUUAUUUAUUUUGCUGCCAUGAAUAUUUCUAUCCGGUAUUUAAAGGUUGACGAGAGAAUAAACCCUUUCAGGCUAACUUAUUACAUUAUUUAAUAGGAUUAAUCAAUUUUUGUUUUUCUGCUAAAAAAAAAAAGGUUUAAUCCAGAGUAACCAAGGUUAACUGUUGUGUUAGAAUAUGCAUUUUGAUUAAUUAAAAAUUGUGAAAAUUUUAAGCUGGGGCUCACUGCACACUACUUUCAGAAAAUGAAAUUAUCAGUUGUCUCUUUCUUGAUUCCAAA
This 55976-nucleotide long non-coding RNA is filed under the name Jatropha curcas. RNAcentral's name for it is "long non-coding RNA (JCUR_LNC000636)". The record is from RNAcentral. Lineage: Eukaryota; Viridiplantae; Streptophyta; Magnoliopsida; Malpighiales; Euphorbiaceae.